CUGAGACCCAGGGUACAGCAAGGAGCCAGGCCAUGCAUCAAAGGCUUCAUCGUGUGUUAUCAAGUCCUAGGGAUCCAGGAAUUCAGAAGGAAGGGCUGGGGGUCAGAUAGGCUUCUUGGAAGAUCUUGGGUUUGGUGACAGUUUUGAAGACUAGGUAAGUAGAUUUAGGAGAGGCUUUCCACGCCCAGGGCCAAAAGGUACCCUGAGAUGCCAGGGAGAUGGGUUGUUAGGAGAUGAUAACAGAAAAAUUAAAGUUUUUCUGUAGCAUGUGGCCUAGGCCCCUGAGCAUUUGAGCUACUCAAGAAAAUGGGGUGUUUAACUGAACAUGUAGUAGUGGGUACAGAGCUCAGCACAGCCCUCUGUUCACAGUGAUUGGAAACUUAAUCUAGUAACCUGCAAAGAGGAGAUUUGCUUCCUGUCACGCAAACUAAAGGUAACAUUCUUUUAAUGCAGUUGUUUAUUCUCAUUUUGUUUUAACUUCAAUGCUUGGGAUCUUGAAGCUUGCUUCAUGUAUGUCAAAAGGGAGGGCUCUGCUAUAUAUCAGUAUCUCUAAAUAUAAGGCAGUCUAAGCCAGGGUUCAUAUAUAAAUGAGUAUCCAAGCAAGAGAAUUUUUUUUUCAGGGGUCUUUGUUCAGUGCUGGCUUUAGGAGGAGAUAAAAUAUGAGCUGAACUUGGGUUUGAAUCAAAAGAGAGCAGGGCUUGGGAGGAAUUCAUUCCUGGGAGGAAUGAAAUGAGGAUGUGCAAUGUGGCAAUAGGAGGUGAUUAUCUGUAGGAAUAUGUAGUGCUUUGUGGUUUUCAGAAACUUUUUUUUUUCUAUCUACGGUAUUUCACUUGAUCCUAUGACAUCUUUGGAAAGUUAGGCAUGACAGGUUUUAUUACCCCAUUCUAUAGAUGAGGAACGUGAGAAUGGAGAGUUUAGGUUUUCCUUAAAGAUGAUAUAGCUGUCUAGCAGCAGUGUAGGUCUAGAAUCUGACUUUUUCUCUCUCAUUCUGGGGCUCUUCCGCUGCUAGUGAGCUGUGGAGCAGUGUGGGGCAGUGAAAAGUUCCUGUACCAGUCAGGUGUCAGAUGAUGUUUCUCUUCCUGACUCUAGGAAGAGGGAAGCAGCCGAAGAAUCCAGGAGGCAAAGUUGGUCCAGGCUCUGUGGACUGGGACCUCUGCCUGAGCUGGUAUUUUAACAAUGUUUCCCUGUUAGACAGCAAACUUAGUGCAGGGCCACGCACACAGUAGGUGUUCCAUAAACAUUUGUUGAUGCUGUAGACUCAGUACAACUGGCUCACAGCAGGCCCACCGUACCUAAUCGCCUCAGAAAGGAGUGGGAAGAGAUUGAAAAUAAAAAUCUCAUCAAUAAUAGAAUCUGUUGUUUUCCCUCCUCUGCCCAGGGAGACUUUGGUUCCUCAGUUGCAUUUCCAGUAUUUUAAGAUGGGAAUAAUUUUCACAGUGGCAGGUUCAGCUGGUGAGAUGCUGUUUUAAUACGAAGGAAAAUGCUAGAAUAGAAUUUAAGAAUAUUAAGAAGGGAUUUGGUUUCUGACAGAAAUAUUAGCUGUAAAGGCCGGUAUGAAGAUUUUAGAGAAAUUUAAUUAAAAUUUAAUCUUCUUUCUAAUUAAAGUUUCCUUUAAUUAAACUUAAAAUUAAAUUUACUUUAAUUGGAGGAAUUUAAAGGGUAUUACCUUUUGAGUGUCAAUCAUUUUGAAAGAAAAAAUUUAUGCUGCUUUGUCUAGUUUAAAAUGAGGAUUGGUGUCAAAUUUCUAGAAAAGUAAUAAAAAUAUUGUAUUUAAAUACAAAUCAGCUCUCCUUGGUAUUUGGUUCCCCAUUUGCCUGGUUCAAAAACAUUGUCUUGAGGGGCGCCUGGGUGGCGCAGUCGGUUAAGCGUCCGACUUCAGCCAGGUCACGAUCUCGCGGUCCGUGAGUUCGAGCCCCGCGUCGGGCUCUGGGCUGAUGGCUCAGAGCCUGGAGCCUGUUUCCGAUGCUGUGUCUCCCUCUCUCUCUGCCCCUCCCCCGUUCAUGCUCUGUCUCUCUCUGUCCCAAAAAUAAAUAAACGUUGAAAAAAAAAAUUAAAAAAAAAAAAAAAACAUUGUCUUGAGUUGUGGUUUUCCUUUAUGUUGGACAUCUCUGGAGAAGGUCAGGUUUAGACCAUCAAGGGCUACAGUAUGACAGUUCUACAUUUAUUUCUCCAUUACUCAGGCUCCCAAGGGAGCUGCCUUCCCUUCUGGCUAUAUUGGUCUAAGUCUCCCUCAUGCUUUUUAAAGGAGAACCUACUCAAUCCAUAAGUCUGGGGAAAUGCUUGCCUCCUGUCUUUCUCUGGGGCUCCAAGCCCCUUUUGUGCUCAUUCCUUCCCCCAAACCUUUUCUGUGUGAUAUAUUAGAAUCUUUUCAAGCCCAAAUGCCCUCCCUUCAAAAACUGAGGCUGAAAGUGAGUUACUUUCUUCUUCUAGGUUGGCUCCCACUUAUUAAUUCACCAUUUACAACAGUAGCAUCCUCAUCAUUUGAUAAAUCCUUCAUGGUAGCCAAUGCAGCCAUAACUUCAGUAGGCCCUGAUCUCCUUUCUAGAUUGGUGAGAGCAAUAGCCUCUAAUGGCCCUGUUCCCCAUUCUCUUCCCCAUCUAUCCUGCAUGCUAUUCCCAAAUCAUUGGUCUAAAAAUAUCUCUCUUUGUCUCCUGAAAACUCCAAACUUCUAACCCUGGCAUUCAACAACUCUAACAGUUUGGCUUCAGUUUACCUCUUACACACUCAUCUCCCUUGACUUUGUACUUAGUCUUCUCCCACCAUGCUAGUUACUCAUCUAAACAUACCUCAAGCUUUUUUCCAUACUGUUGUUCCAGCCUAAGAUGUUUCCUGUUUCUUUAAGAUCCUGAUGAAAUUUUAAAUCAUUCACAAAGCAACCCCUUAUCAAUCUGGCCUGGCAUGAUGACUCAUUGUUCUGUACCCUUGUGAUGUACAUUGUGCAUACUAAUGUUUGUAUCCUUUAUUCAUAUGUAUUCUAUGUUUGACAAUUUCUGAAGCUUGAAAUGUGUUAUCUUCCCAUUUGAUCACUUGAGCCAUAUGUGCAGUAUGUCACAGAAAUACUAGUAUUCAUAUUUCAUAUCUGACCAAUAUGAAGCUCCAAAAGGUUUUGGCUUCCUUAGGAUCUUACAGCCUAUGAGUAACAGAGUGAAGAUUAGAACUCGGGUUCUCUCUAUCCAUACAGUUUCCAGCAAAACUCUGGAUUUUGGCUUCAAAUCUUCAAAUAGUUUAAAUACUUAAGAAGAGAGGACAAAAAGGCUUUUAAGGAUUCAGAUUUGAGAGCUGUUGGGACUUGCUGAGCUAGUUAUAUAGAUAAUCUUUUGCUAUUAUAUUCAAAGUAAGUACGACACAAAUAAAGAUCUUCAAAGGAGAAUAAAUGACUGACUUGCAAUCACUAAUGGAGAGAUAUACUCUCAAGAGCAUUUCUGUUUCCUUCCUUCCUUCCUUCCUUCCUUCCUUCCUUCCUUCCUUCCUUCCUUCCUCCCUCCCUUCCUCCCGCCCUCCCUCUGUCCCCUUUCCUCCCUCUGUCCCCUUUCUUCCCUCUGUCCUCUUUCCUCCCUCCUCCCUUUCUUCCUUCUUUUGGAAAAGAACAAAAGUAACUGCAGUAAAAGACAGAAUGCUGCAGGAAAGAUAAGUAAUUAAAGUGGUAGAUAAAAUGGACCGGGCUUUAAGGACAGUUCUUGUGUAGUUGCUGGGCACCUCAGAAACUACUCCCUUGCUUUUGUCUGGAACAAGGAAUGGUCUCCGUCAAGGGCAGCCAUGGACAGGCUGGGUAAACAGGAGGCUAACCACUGUACUUCAUGGAAUAAGGCACUAAUCCAACCAAAUAGUUUCUCUUGGAGGAAUGAAUGCUAUAAGCACACAGGGCUGGUGGCUUGCCUGAGGUCAUGGUGAGGCCUGGGGUAGAUGAACUGCUUUCCUCGGAAGUCGGAAGCCCAGGACUCAGAAUGGCUUUACUGCUCCUGAGGCAGUUGCCUUGCCGUCCUGCUUCCCUUUGUGACCUUACAAAAAUGAUCAUUACAGAAGACAUCUGAAUAUGUCUUAUAUCUUAAAAACUUAGGAUCCUGAUUAUUUCACUUUAUGUCUCAAAAUCUUUAAGAAUUUUGGAUCCAGUACCUUUCAAAUGUGAUUGAUCAGCCUGUUUUUAAGACUGCCUGUCAUAUACAUACUCUUCUAAACAUUCCUCUCUUACUUCUGUAAAUGAGGAGCCAGUAAGUUUUUUUCUGUAAAAGGCAAGUUAGUAAAUAAUUUAGGCUUUUUAGGCCCCAUAGUCUAUACUGUAACCAUUCAAUUGUGUAAGUGGCUACUUACAGAUAACUUUGCACAAUAGAGACAGUACAAAAUGAAUAAGUAUGACUGUGUUCCACUAAAACUUUACUAAUGGACACUGAAAUUUUAUUCAAAGUUUAUAUAUUUCAUGUCAUUUUCACUUAUUCUGAAAUGUUAUUUGAAAAAUUUUUUUUUCAUUCACUUACAAAUGUAAAAACCAUUCUUCAGCCACUGGCUGUACAAAAACAUGUGGUAGAUCAGAUUUGCCUCCAGGGCCUAACUUUACGGGCCCCACUGUCUCCAUAGAUAUUGUACUCUUUUCUCACUGGGUCAUUUUUAUCCCUGGGGAUACCUCCGGUUUUCUCACUUCCACAUCUUAGUUGAUGUUGGUUUCUCAAACUGAAAAAUCUUAUCCUCAGCCUGGGUUUGUUGAAAUUCUGCCUAUGUUCAAAAUCUAGCUCAAAUAUAGAAUUCAGAUUAUAUUCCAGAUUUCCUAUUCUUGAGGCAUACUAGGAAUAGGAAGUGGUUAAGACUUUGAAAUCACACUACCUGGAUCUGAAUCCUGGUCUCACUGCUUACUAACUCCAUCAUCUUGGGCAGCCUAAUAUUAUUAAACCUCAUCUGAAAAAUGGAGAUAAUAACAGUACUCAAUUCACAGUUCAGAGGGCUAUUGUAAGGAUAAAAUAUUAUAAGCAAGUAAAGAGCUUAGCACAGUACCUGACCAGGAUGAAGUAAUUUGUUCAUGUUAGCAGUUGUCAGCUCUUGUGUCCUGGGUCCUGUGCUUAAUGGUAUACUGCCCUUCUGCAGUUUAUAGAAGAAACAGUUUUGCAGUGAGAACAAACUCAAUGCAAUAUUCUCUGUUUUAGCAAGUGUCUUCAUUCCUAUGUCUAAUUUCUUUCACUUGGUUUAGAAAUAACUUAAAAGAACAAAUGUGUUUUUCCCUCCCUUCUCUAUGUUCACCUCCACAAAGGAAAUUUGGAAUUUUCUCCUUUCUAUGUUUCUUUUUUUUUUUAAAUUUUAGGUUUGUUAUAUGUGGUGAUAGAAUUAAUGUAGUUUCUUCUUUUAACAAAAAUUUAUGCUCUCAGAGUCUUAUCCGACCACCACAUCUUGGUUUGGGCACUAGAACCAUCAAUUUAUAUCAACCCAGUUCCAGGAAUAAUGUUGGUUUAUUAAUUCUUUCUGUGGAGUAUAGAAGCAGGGCCAGGAAACCGCAGAAAGAAUUUAUUUCCUUUCACUUGCCUUUUGAUAAAGUGUAAAGAACAUCAGGUAAUUAGGAGUAGGAGGGUAAGACUUUUUUUUAAUUUAAAUUUACUUUAAACCAUGUCAGAUACAAGUUGGAAACCAGUUUAAACUUUUUGAAUUCAAGUGUAGUUUUUCAUAAUCAAGGAUCUUUGCUUUCUAUGGUUACUUCAUCUAUCAUUUCACUCAUUCAGGGCAUUUAAUGAACACUUAGAGUUCACCUUAGCUAGGUUGUCUAGGGGAAAGAAGAUAAAUGAGGGAUAGUCAUAAUUAACUCUAGUAGCUUCCAGGCCAUGAGAGUACAGAACCAUACAAACAAUGAACUAUAACAUCAGUCAGAGUGAAAUGCCCUGGGUUAGGCACACAGCCACUGUGUGUAGGAAGGAGUAGCUAAUAGUGGUAGUCCAAGGGGAAAAAGCUCAAGGGAAGUUGGAUGGGUCUGAAGAUUCGUGAAAGGGCUCCCCCAGCUAAUGGAACAGCAUACUGUGAAGAUGUAUGGCAAUUUCAGGAACAACAACAACAAUGACAGUAGCUUGUUUGAAAAGAGCAAAUAAUCUGCAGAGGGAUAUGAGAGAGGAGACUGAGAAAUCCACACCCACCACUGAAAAGCCUAUCAUAUCCUUCUUGGAAGAAGGCAAGGACACCCAACUGAAGAUGAUAAUUAUCUUUUUAAUUCAGAAAAUUUAAAGAAAACGUUAUUUAUAGAACCAGAUAUUGACAUACGAACAUUCCUGAUUGUUCAAUGGUAAUCUAUAGGAAUUGUGAUCACCAAAAGGAAUUUCUAAGAAUGAAGCAUACACCUUUUAAAAAGCAUUGUCAAGUUCUCCCUCUCUGCUUCAAGCCAAAGAAUCAUAGAAGCUUACAAUAGUGGGUUGCCUGGCUAGUUCAAGUUGAUAGCAUGCAACUCUUGAUCUUAGGGUCUUGAGUUCAAGCCCCAUUUUGGGUGUAGAGAUUAAUUUUUAAAAACUUGGAAUAGAAAGCAACCAUAAAUUUCUUCUGAUCCAAUAUAUCCAGACAUUUUUUUAAAAAAAUUAAUGUUUACUUAUUUUUGAGAGAGAGAGAGAGAGAGCACGCGCGUGCGCAAGCGAGCAAGUGGGGGAGGGGCAGAGAGAGAGGGAGACAUAGGAUCCAAAGCAGGCUCCAGGCUCUGAGCUGUCAGCACAGAACCCGAUGUGGGACUCGAACCCAUGAACUGUAAGACCAUGACCUAAGCCAAAGUCGAUGCUCAACCAACUGAGCCACCUAGGCGCCCCUAAAUUGUUAACAAUACAAAAGGGAGUAUAUGUCAUACAAAAGAUGGUACAAAACAAGAUCUGUUUAACUUCAUUGUCUGAUGAAUUAAAAUAAAGCAAAGACCCAGCAGAGACCCGUGAUUAUAAAAUAAAUGAAGACUAUCAUAGAAAUGUAUUUUUAGAAGAUGGCAGCAAGCCAGAUUUUACCCCUCACAAGUUUCAGGGACUCUUCAUCUUGGACAUUCUUUAUAAGCACUAUAUUAUUAUAAGUGGAAAAUGCAAUGUCUUAAAUAAAACUGUAUUUAAAAUUGGCACCAAAAAUGUACAAAAAAUGAAUAGCAGAUUUCCCCCUGCUCAAAGUCUGAGAAUGACAGAUGUCCAAAUGGGGAAAUCUGCUAUUACCACGUGCUGACCAGAUUGGGCGCUGACCAAAUUGAGCCCUUUGAAUAGAAUGUUACUUCGAGUUUAUUUCCGGCACUUUGGGGGUUCAUCUUCAGUGACCCUGCUGCUGCAGUUCUUACCAUUUCCCACAGAAGCCAUCCUGCUGUCUCAUUGACUCUUGGUUAGGAGCUCUUCCCUUGCAGUAGAGCAUAUAUUUACCUUCCUUCAAUCUCAUGUCAUUGUUCUAACUAACACCCUCUUGGGUGAAAUAGAACUAUUUUUCACCUCUUUUGGGACUUGUGAUCUUUCGAUAUUUGCCCACAGUUCCCUCUCCAGCAUUACCACCCCAUCUAGAUAACUUAGCUCUAAUAUUAGUAUAAAUGUUCCUAAUUUAAAUGCUAAAUCAGUAGGUUAUUUUUAAAGACUGUGUGCUGGGAGAAGUGAGGAGGGAGCAAGAAAAGGCUGUCGAUUUAGAGGAGUGGAUUGCAAGCCUGCAGAGGUGAACGACUGUGUGUGUCUUGGUGAACUACCUGCCAUGUUCCUUGGCUGGUGAAGAGGGGAGAAGUGGCAGUAGUCAACAAGAGACCAAUUAAAGUCUGACCUCUUUGUCGGCACGGGUCCCGGCUGUGGGUGUCUGGGCCAGGGGGUGGCCUCUAACUACCUCUUAACCUAUGCAACUGGUUUAAAAACUUCUCUUCGGAGAUUAGAUGGAGGUGGGGGUGGAGGGGCAUGCUGGAAAGACGCUGUGGUUUGAGAAUGGUUUUCAAUAACAUGGUCCCCUUUGGAAGCAGACGGUGAAGUUGAGUAAAACCUUCAGGGAGAAAAGCAAUCAGAAGGUACUGGGAGGAAGAAGUGCAAGGGAGCAGAGUAGGCAUUGCCAAUUUGUUUUAGAGAACACAAGGGAAGAAUUUUCAAGGACAAAGGGUGAGAAGCAAAAGGGGAAAGAAAUAUACACCCUGAAAACACCACACCACAUCACACACACACACACACACACACACACACACACACACGGGGUUCUCUGGUAUUCUGUGCAGCAGGAUUGACAGGUUCUUGUCUGCAGGAUCCCUUUGUCAUCCAGAAUCUAUCAAACCGGCAGUUGAGAGAAGGCACUUUUCUGGGAUGACAGUGUUAAUGAUUAAGGACUUUCUUGUUGAGUUUAGCUCUCCUGACAAACUGGUGUUAUAAUUAAAUUCACACACCUCCCUCCUACCCUUCAAAUUACCAUUACAUGAGGGUAUUUAUUUAUUUAUUUAUUUCUGUUUGUUUCAGUUGCUCUUGGCACUUCUCCCCUUGAACUCCUUCCUCUGAGAAAAAUUUCUGCGGGAUUCAGGAUUUUAUUUUAUUUUUCCCUGAGAAACUACCUUGUUUUCUUAGUCUGGCUGAAUAGAAGUUGGAUCGUUGAAUAUUUCCAACACUAUCGUGCUAGAGAUUUCUUAGGUUGGCCUGGGCACUAGUGUCAAAGGUGAACAUUGUGUAAGGCCACUACCAAAUUUUCUGGAAUAAUAUGCCUUGACUCUAAGAGCUUCAACCUCAUCAUUAAUUAGUUCUGUGUUUUGACCCUAUUGAAUAGGCAUGUUAUAGCAUAAAUUAGUAAGAAUGAUUGAUGUUAUAACUUUAAAACAAGGAUCUUACCUUCUAUCUAUUCCACUCUUCAGAUUUAUUUGCAAAUACUUUCCAGCAUGUUCCUUUUGAUAUAAUGAGGAUAGUUUCUGUGAAGUCGAAACCUUUUGGGCUCCUAGUUGUGCUCAUUGAUUUUCUCUGCUUUCACUAAGUUUAUCCCACUUCUACUCCCUCUCAAGUUCCAAAUCAAGGUCUACCUCUUCUAAGAAGCUUUCUAUGACUCUGCCUAUUUUUGACAAGUCAUUCUAGAUGACCUUCUCUGUGUAUGUAUAUAUGUACGUAUGUAUGUAUGUAUCACCUGUCUCUUUACCAAUUAAAUAGACUGUUUUUUUAGAGCACUUUUAGGUUCAUAGCAAAAUUGAGUGGAAGGUACAGAGAAUUCCCAUACACCCUUGCCUUCACACAUGUAUCCCAUUUAUUUUUCAUUCAUUCAGAACAUUCUUAAAUUUUUAUAGUUUUGGUGUGUGUUCAAUUUUUUUAAAGUUUUAUUUAUGUACUUUGGGAGAGAGAGAGCAAGGGAGUGCAUGCUGGGGCGGGGCAGAGAGAGAGGGAGAGAGAGAGAAUCCCAAGCAGAUUCCACACUGCCAGCACAGAGCCCCAUGUAGGGCUGAAACCCACAAACUGUGAGAUUAUGACUGAGCCUAAAUUCAGAGUCAGACGCUUAACUGACUGAGCCACGCAGGCGUCCUGUGUGUGUUUAAUUUUUAUCUUUUCAUUAGGGAGGGCAGGAGUGUUGUCUUCUCUCAGAGUGUCCUGGGGGAUGCCAGUGCUCAAAAAUGUCACGUUGGUUGAUAAUGCCAUAAUUUUUACUUAGUCGUGAAAAAGGUAAAAAUUGGUGGUACAUUUCUUCUCUUGUCUUCCUUUUUAAUGGUUGUAUUGUUGUUUUUAUAAUAUGUUAGAAAUAAUAAGCACAUGGCUAAAAUUCAUAAUGUACAAUAUCUCUAUCCAGAUUUAGUCUUGGGGAUACACCAACCUGGCUAAUCAUUUGAAAUAAAAGGCUGUUUGUAACAACUGCACUUAGUACACAAGAAACUGUGUAGUUGGUUUUCUUCAGAUCCACCCAUCCUUUCCCAUCUUCUGGAAAAGGAACUUCAACUGAUCUUCCACUCAUGUUAGAGGGAUGCCUUUGUAUACCAAUGAUUAUGCCAAAUGAAAUGAAAAGUUUUAGAAAGUCUCCUUGAUCUCUGCUUCCUCACCUGAACAGAUCGCUUUAAUCUAUUUAUGCCCAGAGUGGAGGAAAACUCACUCAUCUGGGAACCUUAUGACUAAGGGUAUUGAAAGGAAACUUCAAUAAUAUGAUGCCCUCACAAGGGUAGGAUCAGAAAUGAACUAAUUUUGAAUCUUGUGCUCCUAAUGGGGUAAAAAAAAGAAAUUCUCUAUCCAGACAGCGCUGUUUUUUUCCGAGCAGGAGUUCGUGAAGUAAGUCCUUAAAAUCACAUCUGUUCACCUUAUGUGACGGGAAGGAGAGGCGACUUCUGAAACAGGGUGAUUGAAAUGGAAAUACAUUCAAAUAAAUGGACUCUGGAGCUCCACUUUGUUCUAAAUAACCUCUACUGUAAGUGAUCAGCUUAUUUGAAAGUAUGAUGGGUGGGCUAUCGGGGCAAGGCUGUAUCUGAUUUUUUUUUUUUUUUAAUCAUUAGUCUAUCUUCCUUUUUAUUCAACCUUUUGGAAUAAGGUCUUACACUCAGGGCACAAUACAGGGUGGGGGAGCUGAGCCUUCAAAGGACACUCUGCACAUGUUUCUAAUGGGUUUUCAAGUGCAUUCUUCUCCCCUUGGACUAUGUCUCUUUCAGAACCCCUAGAUUUGAAAUUUGCUGUAUUAUCGCUAGGUGGUCAGAAACCAAGGAUAUGCCAUAAGUAGUCUUCUGUAUAUGAGGAGAAGAAAUUAGAUUUUAUUUUUUGAUCAAGAAAGCCAUGUGCUCAAUAUCCUGCAGCAGUAACAAUUGCACCUUGCCAUAGCACAACUGGCUUCCAUGGUUAAAGGUAUCUGAGUUGCAUGGGAAUGGAGGGUCAGUUACAAUGAUUUCUACAUAUUUGCAUAUGAUUAGCUCAGGUUUUUUCUUAAAACCUCUGACUUCACCUUAAAGUAGCCUCAAGUUUUAUGUAGCUUGAUCUCUACAUUGUCCCUGUUAACUGAGUUGCCUCUUCUAUAUUUUUGCUCACUUGAGUGAGUGCCCUUUAUUCCAUUCUUUGAAGAAGAAAGAUGAAGAAAAAUUUCCCCUUUAUUUAAAACAUGGUAUCUUUCAGGCAUUUAUAUUUGGGGCUUUACAUUCUGCAUCUUAUUUUAUCCUUUUAGCAAACCUAAAAAAAAUAAAAUAUUACCCUCAGUUUAUAGUCAGGAAAUUUGAGGCUUAGAAAGGAUUGAAUUGUCCAAAAUUACACAACUUAUAAGUGGUGAUAUCAGGAUGCCAAUUCUCAGUCAAGGUUCAGCCUUGUCUUCCUUUCUCCCCUAAAUCUGAUCUAUAUUUUAUUUAUUCAUGGACUCAGCUAGAUUUUCAGUUCCUGGACAAAGCUGUUUAUCUAUUCUUCCUCCUUUCAUGCUUUCUUCCCUUCCUUCUCCCUCUUCCCUUUAAAUAAUAGGCUGGUGGCACAAAAUUCAAACAGUCUAGAAAUCUAGAGAGCAAAUUUCGUGUCUCUUUAUCUUCUUGUUCCAUUCUUUCUCCCAUCUCUUGAGGUAACAUUUGCAACAUACUGUGUGUCUUUCUGGAUAGUUGUCUGUAUUCUUAGGCAUAUACAAAAACACAUGCAUACAUAUGUAUAUAUAUAGUAACACAUAAAUACUUCUAUAUUCACACCUACAUUUAUAGUUUGGAUUGAUAUUUUUCCAUAAGUGGGAUUAUACUACAUAUAUUGUCAUGAGACUUGGUAUCUUUCAUAUAAAGUAUCUGUUCUAGUUAUUUGGUUCCAUAAUAAAUUAUCCCAGAGCUUAGUGGCAUAAAAUGAUCAUUUAUUAUGUUCAUGGAUUCUAUGGGUCAGAAAUGUAGAGAGAACAUGGUAUGGAAGGUGUGUCUCCACUUACCAAUGUCUGGGGCUUAGAGGACUUGAGAGAUGGAAGCUGGAAUCAUCUGAAGGUUUAUUCAGUCAUGUGUCUGGAGGUUGAUGUGGCUAUUGGUUGGAGGUCUUAGUUCCCCUCCAUGUGAGCGUCUCUGUCUCAUCUCUCUGUGUGGGAUAGUUUAGGCUCCCCCGCAGAAUGGUGUUGGCUUCUGCCAGAGUAAGUGUACCCCAAAACAGAGAGAGCCAGGAGGAUGCUGUAUCUUCUUUUAUGACCUUGCGUGGGAGGUCACACAGCAUCACUUCCACUCAGCACUGUGCUCAUAAUUCCACCCAAAUUCAAAGAGAGGGAACAUAGUCCCAUUUCUAGGUAGGAAGAAAGUCAACAUUACAUUGUGAGAAAAGCUUGUGGGGAUGGGAGAUUUUCUUGUCUCCAUGUAGGAAAACAACAAAACAAACCAUCUGCUACAGUAGCUUAGAUGUAUUUCCAAAUCAGUCUGGAGUCUUGUAUAGUGUCCUGUGUUAAACAUGUACUAAAAUUUAUUCGACCUUCUGCUUCUUAGUGGACAUUCAGAUGGCCUCCUUUUUUUUCUUAAUAUAAAAAAUGCAGGAACAAAUAUCUUUGCUAAUGUAAUUUUGGGCAUCUGUGUGUUUUUGUAGAUUUGUAUCCUAGAAAUAGAAAUUUGGGGCUAAAAAGUAUACAUAUCAGAUAGUGCAAAAUUGCCCUCCUUAAAAAGCUGUUCUAAACUUUGCCCCACAGGGUAUAGAUAGAUGGCCUGUAUCAUUACAUCCUUAUGAGGACAAAUAGUUUUGAUUUUUGUAUAUAUGUAGUGCAAAACAGAUUCUAGUGGUUGUUUUUAAUUUGCAUUUGCCUGCUAACUAGAGAGAUUGAGUAUUUUCUUCUGAGUUUGUGCUUCUUUUGUUUUUUUUUAAAUUUUUUAAGUGCUUUUUUAAAUUUAUUUUUGAGAGAGAGAGAGAGAAACAGAGACAGAGACAGAGAGAGAGAGAGACAGAGAGUGAGUGGGGGAGGGGCAGACAGAGAGGAACCCGGAAUCUGAAAUAGGUAUGCUUAUUGUCUCUUAAUAUAAUUUGGCCAUUUUUUUAUUAUAGAUUGAAAUAAUUGUUAUAUAUUACAUAUAUUAAUCUUUUCCUGGUUGUAUGUGUUGUAGUUGACUCUAACUCUGUUACUUGUCUUCUAAAUUAGUUUGUGUAUCUUUGUCUUAAGAGAGUUUAUAAGUUGUAUGAUGUAGUCAUAUGCAGUCACAUAAGUUGUGAUGUUCUCCUCUGUGCCUUCUCAGUUAUUCUUACAAAGGAAAAUCUUUCCUAUCCCAGUAUUCUUCGGUACAUUCUUCCAAUAUUAUUUAUGGCUUAGUUUAUAUAUGUGUGUAUAUACACACACACACACAUACAUAUAUACACAUAUACACACAUAUGUAUAUUUUUAAAUGUUCAUUUAUUUUGAGAGAGAGAGCAUGAGUGUGGCAGAGGGGCAGAGAGAGGGAGAGAGAAUCCCAAGCAGGCUCCGUGCUCAGCUCAGAGCCUGAUGUGGAGCUCAAUCCCAUAACUAUGAGCCAAAAUCAAGAGUCAAAUGCUUAACCAACUGAGCCACCCAGGUGUUUUUAUAUUUGUUCUUUAAUCCAUUUGCAUCAUAUAUAAGUGGGAAAAUGUGCAAAAGACCUAAAGUUUGUACCUAUUGGUGUAUGUUUUCUCUCAAGUCUUAAAUGUUUAAAAGCUUCAUACCUUGGCCAGCUAAGUUCAUGCCAUUUAAUACCUAUUUUUAUUUUCUUCUCAGAAAUUGAAUUUAAUGGUUAGAAUGGGAAAUGCUUUUGUUGAUGUUUUUAAAGGUUAGGGAUAUUGGCAUUUUUAUUUAGAACAUGCAGAUAUUUAUUUUUUAUUAUUAUUUUUUUUUUUAAUUUUUUUUUCAAUGUUUAUUUAUUUUUGGGACAGAGAGAGACAGAGCAUGAACGGGGGAGAGGCAGAGAGAGAGGGAGACACAGAAUCGGAAACAGGCUCCAGGCUCUGAGCCAUCAGCCCGGAGCCUGACGCGGGGCUCGAACUCACGGACCGCGAGAUCGUGACCUGGCUGAAGUCGGACGCUUAACCGACUGCGCCACCCAGGCGCCCCUAUUUUUUAUUUUUUAAAAGUUUUUGUUUAAAUUCAAGUUAGUUAACAUACAGUGUGAUUUUAGUUUCAAGUGUUCACUGUAGUGAUUCAGCACAUCCAUACAUCAUCCAGUGCUCAUCAUGACAAGAGCACUCCUUAAUCUGCAUCAUCUAUUCCUUCCUUCCUUUCUUUUUUUUUUACUUUCUAUAAUUUAUUUAUUUUUUAUAAUUUACAUCCAAGUUAGUUAGCACAUGGUGCAACAAUGAUUUCAGGAGUAGAUUCCUUAAGCCCCUUACCCAUUUAGCCCAUCCCCCCUCCCACAACCCCUCCAGCAACCCCGUUUGUUCUCUAUAUUUAAGAUUCCCUCAUGUUUUGUUCCCCUCCUUAUUUUUAUAUUAUUUUUGCUUCCCUUCCCUUAUGUUCAUCUGUUUUGUAUCUUAAAAGUCCUCAUAUGAGUGAAGUCAUAUGAUAUUUGUCUUUCUCUGACUAAAUUUCGCUUAGCAUAAUGCCCUCUGGUUCCAUCCACAUAGUUGGAAAUGGCAAGAUUUCAUUCUUUCUGAUUGCCGAGUAAUACUCCAUUGUAUAUAGAUACCACAUCUUUAUCCAUUCAUCAACCGAUAGGCAUUUGGGCUCUUUCCAUACUUUGGCUAUUGUUGGUAGUGCUGCUAUAAACAUUGGGGUGCACGUGCCCCUUCGAAACAGCACCCUGUAUCCCUUGGAUAAAUACCUAGUAGUGCAAUUGCUGAGUCAUAGGGUAGUUCUAUUUUUAAUUUUUUGAGGAACUUCCAUACUGAUUUCCAGAGUGGCUGCACCAGUUUUCAUUCCCACAAGCAGUGCAAAAGAGAUCCUCUUUCUCCGCAUCCUCGCCAACAUCUGUUGUUGCCUGAAUUGUUAGUGUUAGCCAUUCUGACAGGUGUGAGGUGGUUUCUCAUUGUGGUUUUGAUUUGUAUUUCCUGGAUGAUGAGUGAUGUUGAGCAUUUUUGCAUCAUCUAUUUAACCCAUCCCCCCACCCUCGUGCCUUUGGUAACCAUCAGUUGGUAGAACAUGCAGAUGUUUAUAAGAAGCUGGCUGGAAGAGGACAUGGUGUUCAAGUAAAGAAGGUACUUACUAGCACAACAGUAAGACCUCCACCCAUCAACCAUAUGCUUUAGGUCUGGGUUAUCUUUUACCUAGUUUGUGCGAGAAAUAGGGUGUCCUUAUUUCUAUUCUGUAGUCCACAUUUCACUGUUCUGAAUUAUCCUUUCAGUUUUUUUGUUGAAUCAAUGGGCCCUUGAGAGAAUCACACACACAGAAAAAUCUCUGAUCAGGGGUAAAAGCUAUUUAUAGUAGGACCUUUAAAAUUGUUUUCAGUCAGAGAAACAAGAACUCUAUUUUGUUGAAUGUCAAUGUCCUUUUAACAAAUAUUUUCUGAACAAUGUUGUCCUUGCAUCCUAGGAAAGAUGGCCCCACCUUCAUAAGCCAUACUCAUUCCAUAGUGAAGCUCAGACUGCUUCUCCUGAGGGAGGGAAGAAGGCUAAGCUAUGGAUCUUUUAGUAGAUACUUAGUACCUGCCUGAUGUUUCACAUAUACUUCCACUACCUUUAUAAAGUUGCCAUUAAUAUUCUCAUUUUCAGUUCUAGCAACCAAGACUCAGAAGGUUAAGUAAUGUGACCUAAGUCAUGUAGCUAGAAAAUACCAGAGGUAAAACUCUGAGUCAGAUCUGACUCCAAAGCCCAUUGUGUUAUAUAUUGCCUGUCCUACUCAAGGACUUGGAAAUUGUUAUCUCAUAUUUAUAAAAAUAAAAACAAUAUGUAAUACGUACUGAACAUUUAAGCUUUUUACAUUACAAUAACUCAUUUAAUUUUUACAAGGUAACCAAGUGAGAAUGUUAUUUUCUCCAUCUGCAGAUGCAAAAUCAGAAAUUAAGUAGCUAGCCUAAAUUUUUCUAGCUAAAAAGUAGUAGAGUGGGGUUCCAAGAUAAUAUUGUCCAAAAUUAAAAAUGUAUUUAAUAGAGUGGAUUUACUCAUGAAUUAUAGCUCUGUAAACUGUUAUUACAGGGAUGUUGAUCUUGAGGCUAUAUUGUUACGCUGUGUAACUGUUACACUUACUGCUCCUCCAAAUGCCCCACAGUGCUGCUCUUGGAGGCAGAGUUCUGGCCUGGAUGGAUCCAGUAUGUCAACGUGUGCAUUAUUCAGGUCUGAAGUUAAUCAUCAACUUGAACAGAGGAGUCCGGUUAACUCACCCACAAAUCUGCUUCAUCUUGAGCAGCAGGAUUCUCACCCCUUCUGAAGCAUCUAAUUAAUCUGCCUGGUCUUCUCACUGUGGCCAGAUGAACACAGCCUUGGCAGAACAGAGAACCACCUCCGGCCUCUUGGAAUGUAGGGAAAGAGACAGGGCACCCUGGAAAGGACUUGUUUGGAGGUCAGCAGAAUUAUUGGCAAGCAAUUUCUCUAACAGAGGGAGGGAAUUUGGAAUUCAAAAGUUUCUGCAUUCUAAGAGCGCACACAUUUCAAGGAGGUAAUGUCCAGUCAGGGCUGAUGGUUCAGAUACCCCAUUUAUAGCCUCAGCAUGGGAAGGGGCCUGAGGCAACACUACUGCUGUCAACUCAACUUGUGAAAGAAUCUGUAGAAGAGCAGUUAUAGGAUGUUGCUUUUGGGGAAAUAUCUCCAACUGCAGACAUCUGGUUGCAGAAUGAGUGCCCACAUAAGAAGAGCAGCGAGUCGAGGCUGUGACAGGAGCCAUUGUUCUGUGGCCUUAGCGCCACAUACUUAGAAUCAUAGCCUUUCAAAACCAGUGGCUAUAGUUCAGAAUUCUCUGCCUGGGGAGAAGAGAAGUUCUGAAAAAUCAGAAGUUCAAAAAAAUGAAUAGGCUGUACAAGUUUGCAUAGGAAUUAAGUGAUAAAACUAGACAGGGGACCCAGCAGAUGCUCAAUAAGUACGUGAUGAACUAGCAGUUUUAAUAAAUGCAUCCUGUAGGAUCAACUCUGUCCUCCAUCAUUCUUUCAUUGUUUAAAAAAAAUUUGAACCCUACUAAUUAUAACAUAACAAGUAUUGGUAUUUAAAAUCAUGGCCCUGUGCUAUAACAAGGCUGUGAAGUAUUAUCUGAUUUGUUAAAGAUUAAAUUAUAUCCAGCAAAAUCUCCGGGUCAAAAUGUAUUAUUUUUCUGAAGAUUUGUAAUCCCUAUAGAGAGCACAAAAUAAUUCAGUUAGUCAAAGUCUGAUGAACUGAAACAGUCCAUUCUAAGCAAAUUGUGCAAACAGUGAAGUUUGUUAAAUCCUAAAGCUGCAUGUGGGAUCCUCUGCUGGAUGGCAUGUGAACAAGAUGGAACAAAUAUGGACACCUUGUACCAUAUUCUUUCUUACACAAAGACCUUUAAGUAUAAUCCUAGUUAAAAAAUUAUAAUACAUAUGCCUUAAUUGGUUGUGGUAUAAAUUUGGUUCUAACAAGGGCCCAAAAUAAAAUUGGUUCAAAGAAUAUAGAAGUAUGUUUCUCUUGUGCAUGAAGGUCCAGGCUGGUCUGGAAGUUUUAAAUGUCAGUAAAACUAUAAGGUGCCUAGAAAGGUUGAGAAAAGUCCAUGUGGUUGAGAAAUAUUAUUGGGAAAGAUAAUUUGUCCCUACAAGAUGUCUCCUUCAUCCACAUUUCAAGCCAGAUGUCAAUAUUUUCUUUACUUCCACAGGAAGGGACUUUACCCUUUUCUUGAGGGCAUAUCCCAAAAGUUGCCAAUGUCAGUUGCAUUAAUGUUCCAUAAUGAGAACUUUGCCAUGUGGUUAGGAAAGAUCGUCCUAACUAGAUGGCCAGUUGCCCUGUUGAUAAUUCAACUGUCAUGUAAGAAGGAGAAAACAUAAUGAGAGGUGAUUGGUAGUCUUCCCUAUGGGAAUAUUAAAUAAGAGUUAUGGGUAUUUCUUUCUUUGUGUCACUGAUAGCUUCUGAGUAUAGGCCAUAUAGCUGUAUGUUAGCAUAAUAGAGGUAUCUGUGCAACUGAUCCUUGUUCUGGUUCCAUGGUAUUGAAUUCAAAAUGUACUUGGAAUAGACUAUACUAUCAUAGAGGCUGAGAUAAAUACAUGAAAAAAUGUGCUUGAGUGUCUGUAUUAUCCUGCAUAGUCAUGUUGUGUAGGCAUGACCCAUGAUUGCAUGAUUGUAUCUAACCCAGAUGAUGUGGUUUCUGGGAAGUGUCCACGCUCUUUAUCCAUCUGCUCCUACUGAGAGCCUAAUGGGACUCUCACUCACUCAAGUGUCACUACUCAUGGUUGUGUACUUUAUUAGUUGAGGGUCUGAAACCUAAUACUUCUGUGCGUUGCUAAGUUCUCUUCUCUGGUUUCUAAACAUGGUUACUUUCUCUUGUGUCCUUUGGUUAAGUGUAUUACUCAGGGUUCUCCAGAGAAACAGAAACCAGUGAGGUAUCUGUAUAUCUACAUAGACAUAUAGAAAAACAGUAGAUGUAUAAAUAGAUGUAUAGAAAGAAAUGAGAAAAAUCGUGAUCUGCCAUCUGUAAGCUGGAGGUUCAGGAAAGUGGGUGGUGUAGGUCUAGUCCAAACCUGAAGAUCCGAGAACCUGGGGAGCCAGUGGUGUAAGUCCUGGUCUGAGUCUAGAGGCCCUAAGAACCAUGCGUUAAGAUGUCCAAAGGCAUGAAAAGAUGGACAAACCAGCUCAGGCAGAGAACACAUUUGCCCUUUCUCUUUUUGUUUUAUCUAAGCGUUCAAAGAAUUGAAUGAUGCCCACUUGCAUUUGUGAGGGUAUCUUCUUUACUCAUCCUACCCAUCUAAGUGCUAAUGUCUCCUGGAAACACCCUCACAAACACACCCAGAAAUAAUGUUUUGCCAGCUAGCUGGGCAUCCCUUAGUUCAGUCAAGUUGAUACAUUAAAGAUAACGAUCACAUUAAGUAAAUCUGGUCUGACCCAAGUGGUGUCUGUUAAAUGUCAGUCUCCUUUGUCAAGAUUUUUUAUGUUCAUUAGCACAGGUUUUUGUUCUUAGGAAAGAGUUGGUGGGAGGGAGCUCACAGUGUGACUUUUAAGGACAGCCCUGAGUUUGGAUGAUCCUAGGGUUAUCUCUUAGUUUCUCUGUGGAGCAGACUUCUGCAUAAACUCCAAGAACAGGAGCAAGUCUGCUGACUCAGUCUGUACCCUCAGCAUUUAAUACAGGAUCUGCCAUAAAGUAGAAGCACAAGAAAUAUUUGCUUAUUGAAUUUGUGGUACUCAAAUAUAAGAACAUUUAGAGAGGCUACCCCGGAACAGUAUUAAUGCUAUUUUAAUACAACUUUUUGUUUCUGAACAAGAAUUUGCUUCAAAGACCCUAACAUCCCCUUAACAUGGAUGUUGAAUUUAUCACUUAUUGGUCUAAACUUUUCCAGAAGCUUUUUAUGGGGUAAGAAUUUUUAGUGUUUAUUGUUUGAAACCAAUUUAAAUUAACCUAGUGCUGUUUUUACCCCAGUGUUUAGAUAGUGAUGAUAUUUGAACUCUGUGUGAAUAAAUCAGAAUAAUACCAACUGGUAUAUUCUAAUCAAUGAAUUUUCAUUGAGAAAGACUUUUCAGAGUGAAUUCAAGCCAGUUUAAUGCCUUGGUCAGUUUUCUACAAAGUAUAGUUAAGCCUUUUACUUAUUUCUUAUUUUUCUAAUUCUAUUUUAUUAAAAUUAUUUACUUCAGGAAUAAUUCUCCAUGCAUAAAAUUUAUAAUAAUGAUCUGAUUCAUCAAUCAUGUAUAAAAAAAAUCUUGCAAUAAUGCUUCUGCCAGUCUGAAUUUUCUUGUAUGGCAGUUAUUUUUACCAUGUCCAAUUUUCCUGGAUCUGAUUUUCCAGAUCAACAUUUGGGAAAGAAAAUUAGAUUCUUCUGUCAAUUUUUACUCAAUAGCACAUUCUUCCAUAAUGCAGUUAUGGCCAUUGUCAGUUUUAUUUGCAAUGAUUGUUUCUAGUAAGGGUAAUUUUUCUUGGUCAGUUUAUUAACACGGUGAGAGUUUUUCAGUUGAUUUUCCUUUUAAUUUUGUUGUGUGCAGUGUUAACCUUUUAUAAUUUUAACUUCGGGUUUUUUUUUUUUUUUUUUUUUUUUUUUUUUUAGUAUUUAGUUUUGGAACAAAACUCCAUAGUAGAUGAAAGGCUUUAUGUGGUCAAGUCAAAUGAUGGGGUUAAAAUGGCAGCAUUCUACCUCAUCUAGGAUAAGUACCUACAGUUCUGGUGGAGAGAUAGAGGCAGUCUUUCUUAUACAAGUCUCAUGGCAAUUACUGUUUUGUGAAUUUAUAUUUAGCAAUCCCUGAAGACAAAACUGGGACCAGUAGAACCAAGGAGGUAUUUUAUUUCAAUAUAAGAAAAAAAAUGUCAACUAAAAUGGAGCAAGUUGAAACAGAGUUGUGAGCUUCUUCCUAGUACUUAAAAAUAUGGGUAAAAAUCUGUCAGAGAUGCCACUGGGUUUUCUAUAUGUCCCUUAAAAAGUCCAUAUCAAAUAAUAUUAUAUCAAUUUAUUUUGCAUAUGGUUUAAGGGCAGAUUUGGGUUUUCUCUCCUUUCAGCCUCCAUCUUUCUAAAUUAUAGACAACUAAUUUGUUUAAUCUAUUUUAUUUGUAGGUCUUCCUCUUCUGCUCCACUUUGUCUGGCCCCAACCUAAACUCUUAGGUCCUGUCCCUGGGUUUCUGAGAAUGUCACACCUUCUACUUCUACUUCUGUGUCUCCUUCUACCCCGCCCUUCCCCUGGCUUUUCUGUCCUCAGCCUUCAGAAUUCUGCUCACUUCCCAGUAGCUCUGAGAAGCUUGCCCACCCUGGCCUUCUGAAGGCAGGCAAGGUACUCCUUCAGUGUCACUCAGAUGUUUAGCAACAAGUGGAAUUGGAUCAUCUGGAUGAUUGAUUGGUUUUCAGAAGUUUUAUCAUGAAUAUCAAUGACAUCCAAACAGACAAGUAUACCAUACUUUGUCAAAAUUACACAAAGAAAUUUUGUGUAGCUUAAAUGAAGCCUGGUAUUAUGCGAUCCUUCUCUAAGGGCUCCCAUGCUUGUUGAGGAAUCAAAAUACAUCUUUGUAAAUGUUUAGAAAAAUUCCAGGACACUAAUUAUCCAAGUAUUCCAUAGGUGUUAUAAACAAAACUUGCUAAGGAGGUUUAGGAAAAAAGGAUUCAUGUGGGAGAGUGUUAUAAAACAAGGUUUAGUGGAAAAAGGUAAAAUUAUUAAUUAUUUAGGCAGCUUUGAUAUGUGGUAAAUACAGGUGUAUUUACCACAAAAUAAAUUGUUGUUUAGGAAAUCCUGCCAGUGUUUAGGUUUAAAACUUAUCUGUGAGUUGUAACAGAAUGAGCUUAAGUUUUCAGCUGGCCUUUAGCAUGUGUGACAAUCACAGACACCAAAAUCCUCUUUUUACAAAAGAGAUGUUAGAAAGUCUAGAUUGUAAAGAAAGAAAUGGAAAAAGUAUGGCUAGAACUCUGGUCCAGAGAGUGGACCAGAGAGUGGUGGUUGAAUCCUAAAUUUCCUGGGAGAGCUCAGAGAACAGUGGUGAAGAGAAAUCCCAGGGAGCAUUAGAUUCAUUCAUUCAUUCCUAUCCCAAAUAUUCAGAGUAUCUGUGAUUUGUCAGGUGCUGUCCUAAUUAUUGGGAAGGAAGAAAUGGACUAGACAGGUGCAGUUGGGAUUUUUUCAUGAUUCUAAGUGGAAGAAGCAUCCACAUUUCCCCUUGUUCCCAUCACCUAUUUAUAAUACUCAUUCUGCCUCCAGCUCUACCUUGCAUGUAAAAUGUUAUUUUGUCAUGAAAGAGCAAGUGAAGUGGCCUAGGGGAAGGGUAAUGGGCCUAAUAACCUCUGAACGUCCCAUCUAGCUUGAGCAAUCCAUGAUGCUCUCUAGCUCUUCAUGAGUCAUAAAUCUGGAGAGUUGAUCAUCUUUCCCUGAUCUCCAUGUUACACUGGAGCUGCGGCUGUUCCCUGCGAGGCUCGCAAUUGACAGUCAUUUAAUAAUGCUCCUUCGCUCUGAACCUAGGAUUGCUCACUUUAAAAAAAUGGAUCUGAAAACCCAUAUGGGGGAUUAUUCUCACUUUAUAUGUAUAUAUUUUCCCUCGAAGGUGGUAACAUAUGGAGGAAUAAUUACAGCAAGAUUUUCUUCUGUCAUUACCGUCUCUAACAUUUUUUUUCCCCACAUGGAAUAUUCAUUUUUAAAAUCCUUGGCCAAAAUUCAAUGUUGUCCUUUUAAAUGACUAAACCUUUGUUGAGUUCUCACGCAGUGUAUAAUAUAGGCUUAGCUAAUCAGCCUCACCCAGCUCGUAUAUCAUGGCAAAGUGUUUCUCAGAGCAGCUCAAUCUGGUGGCAAUGAUGAUGAAACUAUUGAAUUUAACAGGCCCAUUUCAGAUGUGCCCUUUCAAACAGCAGCUGUGAUGUCUGUGACACUAAUCUUCCCCCUCCACUCUUUCCCCUUCCUCCUGCAUGUCUCUUUUUUCUUUUCUUUCUUCAUUCUCCUCUUCCUUCUUCCUACUUUCUCCUAUUUCUCUUCUUCUCUUCCUCCCUCUUUGCCACACACACAACAGGCAGGUAUUGAUCCUUGCUGAUAAUUGUCUUUAACUCGUAAAGUGUGGCGAAUUAUGUGAAUUCCCUGCUUCUACUAAUAGUCUGGAUUUAAGUCAACUCUCCCUAAGAGAGUUAGUUCUCUUCCUACAGGAAUGUUGGGACUAAAGGGCAAGAGUUUCCCACCCUCCCUCCUGAUUUAACUCUAGUUCAAUUUCUACCAUAUUGCAGAAUUUUCCCUUACUGCUACAAAUGGAUUGGCCUUCUCAAAUUCUGUAGCCCUGAAUGUGCUGCUUGCUUAUCUGGUCCUUGCCAUGCUCUGUAUUGUGUGAUUCAUCAGCUUCCUCAUGGAUAAAGUUUAAUCUACCUAGGGAAUGAAUGGGAAGAUAUCUAAUGGUUUUGAACUUCUUGUAAGCCAGGCACUGUCAGAAAUGGUCAGUUACAUAAAUUACCUCUUUUAAUCCUAACAACAACCCAAUAAAGUGGGUGUCAUUAUCCCCCUUCUACGUUGAGAAGAGUAAAGUUCAGUGGGAUUUGAAACAUUUGGAUGUUGCAAUUUGGAUUUGAACAAGGCUUUAUUGACUUCCAAGGAAACACUCUUGUUUCUAAACAAGUUUCCAGCCACGUUACCUGAGGACAUAGACCUUUUCUUUUGAAUUACUUAUAUCUAGCAUUGCAUCCUUAUUUAGGAAGUAUCCAGACAUUGUUGUAACUACCUCUGCAUUCUCCAGUGUCCCAGUGGUCUCAAAACAGAUGCUUUCCCCAAAUAAAUAUUGGAUAAUUAACCCAUUGAUUGAUUUUUUUGCAUAACCUUUGAAUAUUCCCAGAUAUCAUAAAUUUUUAAGAUACAUGUAAUGACUAACUAUAAAGUCAACAUAUCCUACCUAUUAUUUAUCACAAAAAUAUUGUUUAUCAUCAUGCCUCUUUCUGGGUUUCAGGUAAUCUUAAAUAGGUACCUUGUAUUUGCUUUCUCCAUUUCUAUGUUUUUAACUUUGAUCUUGUGUUUUAUAAAUCUGAUUUCAGUCCUUAUCACUAUUAGGGAUGGGUGGUGGUGGUUUGUGUCUCGUUAUAUCUCUAAAUUAUCUUCCCCCCUGGAAUUAUUGUGUUGUAGGAGAUAGAUAUGCACAACUAAACCAUAGUAAAAAUGCAAGACAGAAUAUUUUGCUGAUAUCUGUGAUACUAUUUCCUAAUUUCCAGUGCAGUGCUCUAAGGAAAGCUGAACAUGACUUGGACCAGGGAAGUCUUUUCUUCUUCCAUCUUCUCCUCUGAAUCUCAGAUAGUCAAGCAUUGCCAAGGUGGUUUUGAAUGCAGAAUGUUUCUCAAUCUGUUCCUUCCUUGUUCUGGUUGUAGCAGAUGCAGUGAAGGAAGUUAGAGAAGAGUGGAAGGGCUGUUUCUGGGAAGCAGGCCCUAAAUACUUCUGCUUAGCAUAUUAACCAUGUAGAGAGUCAGAUAGGCAGACAAGAUACAGGAUGGCUGAGUAAGUCCAAAGAAACAGAUCCUGCCCUGGUGGUUUAGCACAUGGGACAGGAAGUAGGAGCUCUGUCCCCAUACUUGGGCAUUGAUGUGUAAUAAACAGUGGCCUUGAUUACUAGUAAGAAAAAAAAAGGCUCUAUGUUUCACACUCUUAGUAAUCAGAUUGAGAGCUUCUCUUCCCCAUUAGAAAUUAGUGAGGAUGAUAGGAAGAAGCCUGGGUGAAAAUUUUCUUUCCAGUAAGCACAUAUUCCUAAAGUUUUUUGUGUGCUCACUGAGAUUCUUCAAAAAUUGGGCAUUUCAGAGGACAGACACCUUUUUUUCUGUUAACUUGUAGAGCAAACUGCAUUUCUCUCUCUCUCUCUCUCUCUCUCUCUCUCUCUAUAUAUAUAUAUAUAUAUAUAUAUAUAUAUUUCUGCUGUUUGAGUAGGGGAAUGGAGAGAGCAACAGUUAUGCACUGAUCCUUCAGGUGUGGCAGCACAGUGAGAUGUAAACAUGGGGAUUUUCCUGUUCAGCAAUGGCCGGGUCAUCCCAGGCUGCUGUCCUUUACAAAGCCCAGAAGGCUAAUCAGUUUGUAUGUGUCAUUAUAAUACCAUAGUGUAGGUGGGCAUUAUUCUUCAACAGUGGGUUAAACAGUGACUGGAGAAAUUAGCCAGAUAGAAGUCAAGGAGAGAUGGCUAUGUAGAUUUGGAGGUGUGACUUCAAGAAUUUGAGGCAGGUCUGAGAUCCAGGACAACAUUUCCUUGAUUUAUCUUGUAUCCAGGCCUGGGCAUAUGCCAUUUGCCUUAUGUUCUCUGUCCCUCCUGCUGGCUGUCUUCAACUUAAUAGUCUACAUUCCUCUCUUGAUUCUUCCCUGAGCAUCUCUUUUUCUACUGUUUCCUGCCUUCUCAAGGCUGGGCUAGGGAACUCCCGUUGUGUCCUUCUGAGGUCCUGUUCUUAGCUCUAGCCUGUAACUACUUAUUUAAUUGCAUCCUCCCUCCCCCACCAACCUCUCUUGGCUGUGAGCCCGCUAGGGCAGCUCCUGGAAUGGGGAUUAAGGUUCACAGAGUACCUUCAACUUGCCAGACAUUGUACCAGACGUGUCCUAUCCAUUAUCUUAAUAAAUCUCUAUACCCUGCCCUGUGAGGUGGAUUUUAUUAUCUUUAUUUUAUGGAUGGGUAAAUGGUGGCUUAGAGAUAUUAAGUAGCUUGCCCAAGGCCAUUUAUUAAGUGGUAGAGCUGGGAUUUGAAACCAGUUUUCUCUGACACUCCAGCCCUUGCUUUUCUCCUGGUGUUGCCCUUCACAUCCUGUGGUAGAGUUCAUGGGCUCUACUGAUUCGUACAUUCACUGCUGGCUCAAUUAAUGUUGCUGUCUUUAUUUCACUUUUCUGACCUCCUAUCAGGGGCACCUGCAGCCACAGCUGAACCUGUCGACUUCUCCCUUUCCCGUUUCUGCUUCUAGGUUUCUCUUGCUGACUAGAAGAUUUGCAACUUGAGUGACAGAGAGUGACUGAUAUCAUCCCCACUCAUUUCACUGUCAAGGGUUGGGCCUGUCAGCAGUUGGUGAAUAAUUUGCCGGCGAUGGGCACUGAUCAUAAAUCGUUCCCCAUUAGCUGUCACGGUCAAACUCACCUCCCCAAGUUGUGGAGUUCCAGAUGGACCAUGUCCUGCACUUAGGCUUAAAAAAAUCUUUCACUACUUGGUCAUUGGAUUUUUCACUCGAGCUGGAGGCUCUCUGAUUUCCUAGUGAUUUGCAUUUCUGUAUUCUAAGAGGAAAAUGUGCAUCAGUCAUGAUGGAGCACAUAUUCCUUUCUAUGCUUAUCAUGAAUUGACACUCAUCAGAUUAGAAAAGCAAUUAACAGCUUUCUUCUCUCCUGAUAUCUAGUCAGAAAAGAGACUGGUUUUGCUUGUUUGUUUUCUGUGUUAUUCUUUGCUUCUUCCUCAUCACUACUCUUUUACCGAAUCUGUUGUAACAAUAAUUUAUGCUUCUUGAGUGUUUCACAGGUAUCAGGCUCUGGUCUAAGAGCCUCGUGCAGAUCAACUCAUGUAAUCCUUGCUAUAGCCCUGUGUGGUAGGGGCUAUUCAAGGCAGCUGAAUACAGCCUCUCUGGACAUGCAGUGCACCAGCCCAGGGCACCAUUCACGUAUGUGCAAUGUGAACAGUAUCCCUGGAUCUGUGUGGUGGCUGUACUGCUGGCACUAUUAUCACCUCCAUCUUAAAGAUGAGGAAACAGAGAAGUAGAGAAGUUCAGUAAUGCGCAGCCUCCCACUGCUAUACGUAGUGCAUGCUGGGCUUCAGACUCCGGCAGCCUGGCUCCAAAGUCCACCUGCUUCUCUCAAUUUGCUGCUUCUUUUAGUCUCUGGGUCACAGUUGAACCUUGGAAAGAAAGGUUUUGUUUGGUGACAUAUUCUGGGUACUCGAGAGUAAUAAAACUUUUUUGCUUCAACACCAUUCUUGAAGAUCUUUCUAACAUGACCCAGUUGACUUCCUGCUCUAGUGAGUUAAGUCCUCAGUAAAUGUAUUUUUAUUUAUGUAAGUGAGGGUCCUGCAGGUGCAUGGGUUCAUCCUGAAACUCUACUUACAGUUCAGAGGAAUUUCCAUGUAGAUGGAGAAAUGUAUAGGAUACUAGAAGAGUCUUUCCCUAAAACUGCACCUAAUUGAGACAUCUGACUUUAAAAGUUAAUUCCUCAUCUCUGUGUACAAACUUCUUUGGGCUCACUAAAUAAUAGGUUUCCUUAUUUUGACUGUCAGGCUAGUUUAUAGCUGACCACUGAGUUGAUUUGGCAGAACCUUUACUCCAAAUCGCCUUUCAAUAUUGGUAAGUGUAUAUAUACUCUGAUGAUGGAAUAGAAACUUUUUUUUAACCAUUGCUUGAUUAUAGCACUGCAGGGUACCUUAUUUCAACCCAAAUUAGAAAUCACUUUACCGCUUGUAUCCUUUCUUAAAAUGAAAUUUCUGCUUUUGGUAUCUUUAUUCACAGGGAUCUCACCACCUCUAAAGAUUGCAGUGGUCCAUUAAAAGAGCAUUUGCUUAGAUUAACUUCUGGCUCACCUAGUUCAUACUACUCUUAGGGAAAAGGCUAGGCCAUCUGCUCAGAGGGCCCACAAAUCACAAACAUAUGGAAAAUUGAUAAAUAGCUUUAAACGUUCUUGUGUGCCUCUAUCAGUUAGGGUCUGAUGCAGCAUGACCCAUGACUCUAAACAUCUACUGUCACAACUAACACCAUUCAGGCCCCAGGGAAAGUCUUUUCCUCAUCUCUUUCUCUAAGUCCUCAAAACACAAGUAUCUGUGUCUGAGUGUCAUGGAGGCUUGUAGAUUGAAUGAACACUGUGGAAGCCAGGGGCAAGCAGUGCUUUGGAAUAUGGGAAGGAUUUGAGCAGACGAAGUAUAUAGUGAAGAUCAAAGACAAAUUAAUUAGCAUGUCAAGUCUUCUCUCAGAAGCCAUGGAGGCAAUCAAUUUCUGCAGUAGGGGUCCAUUUCUUAUUGCUCGUCAGGUUCCACAUCAUGAUUCUGGAGGUACUCACAAGUGCCAUGGCUGCUCAGAAAAUUUUGCCAUAUUAAAUAAUUUGCUAUUUUCAAAUUUGUAUAUAGUUUUAGCUAUAUGUAACAGACAUGGAGAGUAAUACUGAUUCUUUACCUUGACAAUUAGAUGAGCAUUGAAAGCUAGUACAGUGAAUGUUUUUAUUUUUAAAAAAAUGUUUACUAUAUGGACACAUGGGUGGCUCAGUCAGUUAAGUGUUUGACUUUGGCUUAGGACAUGGACUCCUGGUUUGUGAGUUCGAGCCCCGUGUUGGGCUCUGUGCUGACAGUGCAGAGCUGGAGCCUGCUUCCAGUUCUGUGUCUCUCCCUCUCUCUUUUCCUCCCCUGCUCACACUCUAUCUCCCUCUCAAAAAUAAAUAUAAAAUUAAAAAAAAGUGUUUACUGUAUCUUACUAUAUUGUGAAAUUAUUAAAUUCAUUCAAUUUAUAAAGAUAAUAGUUUCAAAAAUUUUAUUCAUUGAUUGUAAUUGAUAUUUUACCUUUUAAUUUUUAAUACUUCAGGAGAAAACUUUAAAAAAUAUAUAUGAAAAUAUUUUUAAUUUUUACUUUUUAUGUUAUAUUAGUUUUUUCAAAAUACAUUAAAAUGUAUAUACUUUGAAUAUAAUUACAUUUAAAAUACAGAUCAUUAUGUUCAGUAAAAUCCAAAUUAUGUGAAAAUACUGAUAACAGUAUAAUGAGUAAUUUAUUAAAAUUAAGUCAAGAAAAUACAGUUGGUGGAAUAAAUAUAUGACUUAUGAAUUAUUAACAUAUUUUUAAAAUAUCACAGGCACAUCCAUAGAACAUUCAGACCUAUGGUAGUAAUUAUUAAUAAUAAAUUCAGUCAUCUUUUAUAUUUUGCCAAAUUUUAGUCAUAAAAAACAUAUAUGUUUUUGAUACUGUGGUUUGAAGGUGCAUUUUCUAAGGGAGAGAGUUAAAUCCAGAGCUUUAACUAUUUUUGUUUGAUUUAUAACUUUUAAAUAUUUAGGUAUAAGAUAUGUGGGCCUUCAGUUGUGCUCUUGCCCUGAGUCCUGCAAAUGUGAUACCUUAGGACCAUAGAUUAAUCUCUGGAGGGCUCAGUCUGCUUAUUUAUAAUCUGGAGACCGUGAUCUUUGGUGGCUGUGGUGAUAACUGAUAUGCAUAUCAUAUCACUUUGUAAAUCCCAAGGCACCAUUCCCAUAUUUAAAUUAUUGUUGUCUAGUAUCACUGUCUUAAAACACUUUUUAAAAUGUUGAAUGAAAAUCUAUUCCCACAUAAUACAGAAUAACAGAAUCUUCAAGUUGAAAGAACCUUACAGAUAAUAUAGACCACUUCUCUUCCUUCCCUCUGCACUUUCGGAGACGGCCCAUUUUAUUCUUUGAUAGCUCAGUUUUUAGAGAGUUGAAAUGUACCCCUCUUUCCAUCUUUGUAAUCUGCCCUUAUCAGCGGCAUCAUUAGUGCUAUACAUUUUUUUGAAUGUUACUUCUCUCCUGCCUUGAAAAUUGAAAUAAUUUUCAAAGACAUAAUAAAUUGCAGUUUAAAGACACUUCUACCUCUUAUGAGUCUUAUUCCCUUUAAAAACCACUAUAAGGGCCCCAUAUCUCUAUUUUCCUUGACAUUAAAAUUUCCCCCCAAAUAUACAUAUCCACGUGCUCCUCUCUUCAAUGUCACCAAUUCCAUGUUGACACGAUCAUUUCUCUCCUGCCUUAUUUCUAAGCUAUUAGUUUAUUUUUCUCACUGGUCAGAGUUAAACCCAGAAUAACAACUUUCCUCUUUGCUCUUCCUCCUUCAGUGCAACCAUGUUCAUCAGCAAGACAAGCUGAAGGUGUAUCAGAUCCUGUACCUUUAAUAUAAUUCUAUCACUUCUUUUGUUGAUGAAGAUUGUGCAUAUAUAAGCAGCCUAUGUGAGGUACUGAAAUGCUGCAUUAAUUUUCAUUUCGUAUAACUGUGAAAUCAUCCGUAUUCCAAUCUAGCAGAUGUCCUGAGCUAUGAGAAUUGAAUGUAGUAGGAGUAAUGGUGGGAGCCCUAUGAUAAGUUAGAGAGAAUUCUAAAUAUUUGUUUUAGUAAAAUUCCUGCCCAAACCUUGAAACACUGUUUGCCCCUCCCCACUACAGAACAUUGUGUCCAAACAUUUACAUUAAAUAAAGAAAAGUACAAUUGUAUUGUAGAGCUGACAGUGUGUGUACAUAACAUUAACUGCGUGGGGUACCAUGGCAGUAGUUUAGAGUGAAGUUACGGAGGUUCACAUUCUCCUCCUGCUGCCUUCCUUCCACAUUAUCAAGUGAUAGAUCAUUUGAAGUCAAAGGUAAACCCUGUUGAGUUUCUAUAUUCAACUUAGGUUGUACCAGAAUUAAUUAUACUUUCUGCUACUUUGCAAAGGAUUGUCACCAAUAAAUUCUAAUAAAUAGGAGUAGAAAGAUUUUAUUCAUACUAUUCCAAAAAAAUUAGAACAUAGUAGUGUUAUUUAGUAAUGCAGAUGUUAUAUUAUUGUGUUGCUUAUAUGAAAAUGGAUAUGACAUGGAGAGGUAUAUCAAAUGAGUAGGAGAGAGAUUUGAGCUGGGCUACUGUUUUGAUUAUGCAUAUUUAUUCAUAGUACAAAAGUUGCUCUAUGGAACCUCUUCUCCUAAGAUAUUUUUGGAAGCCAUAUUCUAUUUUUUAAAAUAUUUAGAUAUGUCAGUACUAUCCUGUACUAUAUUUAUGAAUACGUUAUUUAAAUUGUACCUUAAUUGGUUUAGUCUCCAGAAUUGUAAGACAUGAUGCUAAUACCUGGUGUUGUCCAAGUGAGCAGGGGAGAUAAUGGUGUGGUGCUGUUGGUUGGUUGCUGGGGAAUGAGCCUGCUGUACAUGGUCUGAAAACAGUAAUUGCAAUGUGACUCUGAUUUCUUGUUUUGAGCAUAAUGUUGUUUUACCAGUAGAUCACCUCAUUUUCUAUUAUGAUUACUCUGUCAGGACCAUAUCCCCAUGAACAUAUUUUAUUUUAUGUACUUGAUAGCAGUAUGCCAAAAGAAGAUCUAUGUUAACCAACUGAUUAAAGAAUUAAAACUACUAGAUGACCUCUAUGCACACAUGUGCACACACACACACACACGCCAUUCUUCACUCUCUUUUCUCGUGUGUGUGUGUGUGUGUGUGUGUGUGUGUGUGUGUGUGUGUGUGUGUCUUGCUUGGAACGUUAAUCACAUUGUGGUCAAAAUGAUUUAAGGAGUGCUUUGAAUUAUCAGUAUCAUGACUCAGUAUUAUGACUGUUUCUUCAGUGGAAUAGUCACACUCAAAUAUUUCACGUCUUUCAAAAAGAAAGAUAAAGAGUAAUAAAUUAUUAUGGAUGGAGAAGUUAGUAUCUUCUAAGUUAGUAUCCUAUGUGGGGCAAAUUAGAAGGAUCAGGAAAAAGAAAGGGACACCUGUAGUAACUUUACAAAUAAUUUUCAACUUGGCACAAUAAUUACAUCCAUCUUCAAAACUGGUACAGGUCCUACACCCUUCCACAAGGCCUUAUAACCUUAUACUCAAAACUCAUUCCCACUUCACAUUACUCCUCAUCUCAUCAAGCACAGAAGAUAACACAUUAAUUUCAAGUUUUUCUAGUUAUAUCUCACUUGAUUCUAACAUGCUAAUUCUUCCAAGCCUGCACUAUCUAGUCCUCCAAUGUAGUCUGUGCUGAUUUUUCUGUGUCCAUAAUACCCAAUGACUAUCACAUUUCAUACAGUGGCAGCUCUCCCUCCCAUGUGUCUGUUUUAUGAUUGGUUAUACCUAGCAACAAGGACAACUUAAAGCAUUUUAUUUUUGUGCCAAAAGUACACAUUUGUUUUUAUUUCUACUCCCCACUGUCUUUAAGCUAAGCAGAUAAGAAGAGGGAUGAACCUAGCUGAAAGACACACUCCACAAUUUCAACCCUCUGAUGGUACCUAUAACCAGUCAAAACAAUGCAAAGGGAUUAAGGGCCUUUCCUGCCAUCUCCAGAUUCUCUUAAGACUGUAGUUCUUCUUCCUGUGGGCAGGGGUAAGGUAGCAUUGUGGGUCCCCAGGAUUGAAGUUGUCAAGCCCAUGAUUACCACUUUGCCAAGAUGCCCUGAAGAGGAGGUACAGCAUCUUCCUUUUCAUGAAGUUUUUGAGGGUGUAUCUGUGAUUUUUACAAGUUACUCAGAUGAGCCCAGGUGGUUCACUUCUUUGACAAUUGAACCAUUCUAAUUAAAAAUUCAAGGUCACCCUUGCAUCAUUAGAAAGAUCUGAUAGAAAAUUUGAAAUUUCUACAAUUAAAACCUCAAUUAAUUUAGUGGGAUGGUAGCCACCAUCCAAAGGGAUCUCAUUAUAUAGUUAAUAAAAGCCAAGAGCAUGGAAAAAAGCCAAGGCCAAAGAGAUUUUCCAGGAUUUAUUCCAGCUAUACUUUUGCUACUUCAGGUCCCAAAUCCCAUCUUCUCCCUGGCACCCACACUGACCAUUCCAACUUGCCCACUUUAGGCUUUAAAAGCAUGUCUUACAUACUACAUGUAUUCCUAGUUACUUAAAUGAUUUCUGAUGUAUCUUUGCCUUUUUCUCUCACUUAGGAUGUAAGCAACUUGAAUGAAAGAGAUUAUUAUGAUUCUUUGUAUUCUACAAAGUCACCUAAACUAUGAUUUAGCAAAUACUGAACCACAGUUCCUAAGGGAAAGUGAUUAGAAGUGUUAAGUGAUUUGCUUGAGGCCACCAUUAAUAAAUGCCAGAGUUGUGAUUCGAACCCUAUCCACUGGCCCCAGAACUGGAGCAUCUUUCAUCACACUGCAUUGCCUCCUACUGUCUCCGUUCCCUGGUCGUUUCUGUUUGAGAGCUGGGACAAGAUGGCAGAACAUUGUUUUAUUUGAUCUCCGCUGGGAAAUGCAGGUCGGAGUCUUGAAUUUUUCACCACUUUGGGCAUGUCCCUGCAUGUCUGCAAAUUACCCAAAAGCCGGUGAGUAUUGAUUUGGGGAUUACAAAUCAAUUUUAGCAGUAGGUGAAUUUGCAAAUGCGGAAUCCAUGAGUAAUGAAGAUUGAUUGUGUAUGUCAUAUUUUUUUGGAUGCCCCAAACACUGAAUAUAGCCAUUUGCUGGUAGUGAUUGCUCAAUAAAGGUUUGUUCAGUGAUGGGUUGUGUGAGUCAGCAGCUCCAGAAUCAAAGAACUAGGUUUAUUUCUCAUCCUUUUGUAGUAUACCUCCCAGUGUGUUGAAAGACAUAUAGUGAAGGAGCUGAGAGAAUGGACUUGGGAGACUUAAGGGCUGUAUUUGAGGCCUAACUCUAUGAUAACUGUUAACCCCUGUGACAUUAGGCUUCAGUUCCUUCAUUUGUAAAAUGGGAGAUAAUAAUAGUAUUGGUCUUAAGGAGUUGUUAUAAGAAUAAAAUGAGUUAAUAUUUGAAAAGAACUUAGAAAGUGCCUGGUACAAAGUGUUAUAUAAGUAUUUGGUAAAACAAAAAGCAGAGACAAAAACAAAAACAAACCCCAAUACCAUGUUCUCAAUACCUGGCAUUACUAUAAACUAUUUUUACCGUAUUGCUAAAAAUCUGUGUGAGUUUUCAUUUCUCUAUCCUUAUUGUAGAUAACAACAUAUAAGAGCCUUCUUCAUAAGGAUACUGGGAGAGUACAGUGAAAUCUAUAUUGCAAAGUAUAAACUUAAAGAAAUACAAAAUAGUACUGUGAAACUCUGGCAGUCUCUAAAACCGGGCUGUGGUCUCUGGGGACUGUCCUGGCAGUACUCUGAAACUUGUCCUUUGUGGCGUACCCAGUCCAUGGACAGGUAGCAAUUUUGUUGUGACUUUCUCACACUUAAUGUCUUUAAAUGAGCUGACAGAGCUCCCUGCUGCACUGCCAGAAAUAACUGCUUAGGGUGGAACUGUAUACAUUUCUUCCCUUUUCCACCAAUCAACAGGUUGUAACUUAAGAUAGAAAUGAGGCCCCUGAGUUCAUGCUGGAAAUGGGGGGAAAAAAGUAGGAAAUGAUAGGUUGUCAACUUCACUGAAAAGGUGCAAGGCAUCAGAACUGAAAAUAAAGACUUUAUUGCCUUGCAAAGAAGGCUUGGUAGCAUUCAGAUAUUACCUACAUCUGCUUUAAUGAUUCCAUUUAAGCUGUCAUUUUCUGCAUUUACCUUGCAGCAUUCAAAAGCAACUAUACUUACAUGUUCACAGCCAGUGCAUUGCCAGCAUUACAAAAGUGGGAAGAUGGGGUGGAGGGGGGUAGAAAAUGGUAUAUGAUGUAUUUCAAAGAACAGUUUCCUUGCAGAAAAUUAGCAGUAAUUUUGAGGCUACUCUUAAAGUGAAAUAAAGUUUCUUUGGUCAUAAAAAAUGCUGACACUGAACGGAAGAGAAAGUGGUAGGGGGACUAAAUUCACGCUCCUGUCCUUUCUCCCUCUACCCUUUUGCUAUUUGCUAGACACCUGGUCAAGCACUUCAAUGGGAAGGGCAAGGAAUCUGGGGACAGGGUCACCUUGGUUUUAUUCCCACCAUGAUCAGUCCUGAUUGAUAAAGGGACCAAAUAAUAGUGGUUUUCCUUGAGAUUCACUUGGCUGCUUCUGGAAUGGGGGUGAGAAGGUCCCAAGAUUUUCUCAGUGCUCCUCAGAAGCCCCACAGUGAUUGACAAUCUAGAAAUGCAAAUCAUGGGGCACCUGGGUGGCUCAGUUGGUUAAGCUUCCAACUUCGGCUCAGGUCAUGAUCUCACGGUUUGUGAGUUCAAGCCCCGCAUCAGGCUCUCUGCUGUCAGCAUGGAACCUGCUUCAGAUCCUCUGUCUCCUUGUCUCUCUGCCCCUCCCUGCUCAUGCUCUUUCCCUCUCUCAAAGAUAAAUAAACAUUAAAAAAAAAAAAAGAAAUGCAAAUCACCUUGAAUAUAGCACUUUUGUUAUGGCUGGUCAAAUAUUCUCAAUCAGAUGCUAUAAUUUCUUCUCUAAAUAGGCUUCAUUUUUCAAGUUCCCCCUUAAAUCUUACCACCACUGCUUCUGAUGCCAUUAACCCCCAGAAGUCUCUUCCUCCUCCUGGUUCCUAUGGUUUUGGUUAACUUGACUCUGGGUCUCUACUUUGCGUGCUGAACUAGGGCAUUUGUUUACUUGUUUCUGUAUCUACAUUCAUUUUCUUAGGUCUGCAGGUAAAAUUUAAUUUUGUGAAUUCAGAGUUACACUUUUUGGGGCCACUCAUGACUCCUGCAUGGCACAUUUUAAACAGGAGGUAUUUCACACAGUAAUAGUCUGUUUGCUGAUUUUUACUAAAGGUGAAUUCCAAAUCCACACAGUUUAUAUGACUAUGUCUGUUUACUUUUUGGACUCCUUCUCUUGUCUGUUUUUCCUGUUAGGGGAUUCUACCCACAUUAAGUUUCCAAGUGGUUUCAAAUUCAUUAUGUUAGUGCUCCAAAUAAACUUGAGCUAACAAUUCAGAUCAAGCAAACUUGGGUUCAUAGAAAGAACACUGAGGACUAAGCUGACCUGGCCCAUCUGCCCAUUGUUUUCCACUGUAAGCCUCUUCAGGACCAGGUAAUAGUGAAGCCAACUGUAUGGUCUUCCUUAGUAUUGAGAACAGAGUGCUCAGGAUUAUAAAGUGGAACUUCAUAAAUUUCUUUUUAAUAAAUGAAUGCACUAAUGAAUUAACAAACAAAUUUAGCAUUCUUGCCCAAUUUGUUUAGUCCCCUUUAGAUCUUCUGUGAUCAUGGGAAUAAUGCAUAGUGUCCUUUUAUUUUGGCACAUAAUUAAACAGAUUAAUGCUCAGUUGUUAUGACAAAUCAUUUUUAAUCUUUUUUUGAAGGAAUGAAGACUUUAAAAGAGGAGAAAAUUAGGGAUUCUGAAAUAGAUGAUAGGGUCAGAAGCAGAAGCAGAGAGAGAAAAUGUUUAUUAAUGUUACUGCAAGCAGUAUUUUAUUUCAUGGGAGGUGAGAGAACCCUAAGAAACAUGAGCUAGAGUUUAGUUAUGAAUUUUAAUUAUUUUUCUUUCUUGACAGAAGGGAAGAUAUCUUGUCUUAAUUUACUUUUUCAUUUGAAUGCUAAGCACAAUGUCUAGAAUGUGGUAGGUGUUCAGUAGUUAUGAAAGGUAGGCCAGGUGGAUGGAAGUUGACAGCCUAAUGGAGAACAUUUUAUCUGUGUUUCUGCCUCUCUUUCCAGAUACACUUCCUCAUGGGAGUUAGAAAGAGAAAGGAGUAAAUUUUUUACUGCUGCCAUUUUUAUUCCAUAUCUCUGCCAGGUCCUGGCUCUAAUUCCUUGUGUUUGCAAUUCAUAAAAGGACUGCAUACCUCACUCCACACCACUUUCUCACUUCUCAUGAACUCAUCUGUCUUGUGGAGAGAAUUUGAAGAAAUAAUUGCCCUGGAAGUGCUAAUAAUUGAAUGAAAAUUAUUUAGUUUUUCACAAAUAUUUGGCUUUAUCAGAAAACAAGUUCUGAUACCAAGUAUUUCAAGCCUAAUAGAAUUUAAGAUAAGAUUCACCAAAGGUAUUAAUAAAUAAUUUAAAAAAUACACAUUCAUAUAUUUUUUUCUGAGGUCCAAAUAAGUUUAAAAAGUGUGGCUUGAACACAGUUAAACAGUUUGGACUUCGCAGUUUUAUGUCUUUAAUAUACAAGAGACCAUGUGAAUCUCCACAUUUCUCAAAGUUAUUUUCCCCAUGGAACUUUGUUUUUUUAAUAGAGUGUUUUGAGAUGUUAGCAUUCUAUGCAGAAUUCUUUGGAAAAAUUUGUAAUAAGUCACCUCCCAGAGCUCAUUCACAGAGUGAGGGCUAUAAGCCUCAAUCUGAAAACAAGCUGAAAUGGAAUAAUUUUCUGAUUCAUUUUUUUCCAUUUUGGAAUUCACACAGCAUUAUUCAUCUCAAGCUGCAAGAAUGUUGAGCAGUACUUUCCCUUCACCAAAACAAGAAAGAAUAUAUUAAAGGUGUGUGCAAGAAAUUUUGCAGUAAAACCACCUGCCCUGCAUAAUGACUAGUUUAGUUAUUGAUAAGGUUAGAGACAAUAACUCUCUGAAAUCUAUUCUGUGACAUUUCUCAUAAGCGGUAUCCUCAAGUUUUUCAGCUGCUUCAAAACCAUUAAUUAGUGAAGAAGUGUAUUCUGAAUGCAAUAAUUUCCUAAUAAAACCCACGGGUAUCAGACUGAAUGGAUGCAAGCUGAUCAAAAUGUAAUGUUAUGUUUCCAAUAAUCAUGGCGGGUUAUUUGCUUAGUAUUGAAAUUUAGACUUUAAUUUUCUGCCAUGACCAAAAGGAAAUUGCAGCCAAAUAUGGCAGAAACUCAGGAGGCUGUGCUUGCCACAGGUGUUUAAUCAUCAGGGAUGCUCUUGGGGGAAAAUAGUAUUGAUGGCUGGCAGGCCAGUGUCUACAGAUGGGGAAAAGCUAGUAGGGGGUGGGGGGAGAGGCAGGUUAGAAGAGUAUCACAAUCUGGACAAGCUCCAAAGAAAAUCUCAUCUUUCAUUUCACACCUUUGCUAUUUGCUGUCAGUCUCUCUGCAGAAAGUGUUAUUACCUUGCAGUGCUCGGCAGGGGUCGACGGGCAACCCCAACACUUCCCCUUGGCUUCACUGCCUCCUGGAUGGACUUCUUCAUUAAAGCGCACACCACACUUCUCCUGGUUUAAUGGGCAUAAAUAUAGCUACUCAAAAAGGGGAAGCACUUUCCUAUCCAUGAAGAUAUUACAUCCAAGAGACGAAAGGAAAACCUGCUAAUUGAGAAUCGCACUUUGGUUUAAUUACACAGAUGCUAAAAUAAUGUAACUGAAGCGCCUUAAAAAUAUAAUUAUCCACUAUGCAAUGCUUGAGAGCAUGUUUUAUGUUUUUGCUUUUAAUGCAUAUGAUCAAGAAAGAGCCAACAAAAGAAUCGUUCCUGGGUAAUUUGGGAAACUGGGACAUGUUUGGGUUUGAAAGAUGUUUCAGAAAGUAUCUUGCUUUUGGAAGGAAUCAUCAAAGGUAUUUUGUGAGUAACUACACAUAAAAGUCUUCUUCUUUACCUGGAUGUUCUUCAAAGGCACCUGGGAUUAAAAUAAAUAAUAGAUUUUAGGGUAGGCUUGAAAUUGUAUACAAUUAUCUUCUCCAGUAUAGUAAAGAGUAAGGACUGCUAUACAUUUAGAAAGACAUACUGUGUUUGUGGUGUAAUUUGAAGAAGAUCUAGAAAGCGCUUCUGACUGGCUGAUAUUCUUUUCACCUUUCAUUCCCCAACCUUAAGCCCCAUCCUGUUGAAGUUAUUAUUAAUACAGUGGUUGGUUACUAUAUAUUUUUUUCAAAAUAUUUGCAUAGAAUGCUAAUAUCUCAAAACACUGAUAAACAUAAACCCGAUUAUGUAUUGUUUUCUAUUGGCUAGUUUGUGUUUUUAUGUAUGGUACUUUGUGUUUUGAUGUUUAUUUUCCUUGUAGAUGUUGUCUAUUUCUAUAGGUAGUGUUUGCCAUGGGUUAUAGUAAACACUGCCUGAUUGAUGCUAACAUUGUGCAUUUAUGAUUAACAUGGUGGGCAGUGUGGACUAUUGCUAUCCUUCUAAGACAGAAAUGUGUAGUAAGUUAGCGAUAAAGUGUACUUCCAUAUAGCAAUCUAGAAAUGGUACUAAAAUCAUUUAGUGGACCUAAUUCGAGCCUUCAGGAGGUCAGAAACUUGUAGACGCUGGCAAGAGAUGGGUGUAGCCCUGAGAGGGGGAAGAAGGAAGCAGGAUAUGGACUACAUGGAGCUUCUAAGGCCAGUAUGAGGAGGGGAACUGUGAGUGACAUGGUGCAUCUAUAAGCCAUCUUGGUUAACCUCUUGAUAAAUAGGCUGCAGAGGUGGGAAUGUGACAGACAGGGAAUGGAGCCUGGGCUACGUUUAAGCUGAGGGAGGUGUUGAUUUUUCCCUCCACCCAUGAAGCCAGAGAGCUAUGAAGGAGCGCAGGGGUUGAAAGCUCAGGCUCUGGAGUCUGAAUGCCUGGACCCUAAUCCUGUCUCCAUCUGUCACUAGCUGCAGAGCCUUGGAGAAGUGACCCAUCUGUUUAAUCCUGAGUUUUUUCCUUUGUAAAAUAAAGUUAAAGUACCCACUGAGUUGAGGUGAUGUGAUAAUUAAAUGAAAUAAACCAAAUGACACACUUAAAAGAGCACCUCGCCUAUUGUGAACAACUCAAAAAAUUAGCUGGCAUCAGUUCUCCAGAGCUGCUUUGCCAAACCAUGUAUACAUUUCAAACACCAUAUGUGUGAACACUCAGAAGGUGGUCUGUAGCUCUCAGAACCUUGGAGAAGAAAGAAAAAUUCCUCAAAGUUUGAGGAAUCUUGGAUUUUAAUCCAGUGUUAAGCCAGGCUGUCUGCUCCAUUCUCGCUCUACUAGAAGAAGCAGAGCAUCACAGCUAAGAAAUGGAGCUAGAGCUGUACCGGACAUCUCGCAGGUUGGAUAGUCACAGAUGUGUUUACAUUUACAUCUAGAUGCUACAUGGCUCAUUACUUCAGGGUGAGAGGCCACUGCAUACAUGUGCAUCUGCUAAUGAAUCUGGACCUGUCCCAGCAGACUGCCUAGACAGUGCAUUUUUUUGGAUGAUGUGUUUUUGAGUGGAGUUAGGAAAGAAGAAAGAGAGGUAUUUUAUUAAUCGCCAAACAUCUUGAAUAGUCAGUGUUUCUAGUCAACAUUCCCUAAUUUUUGUAUUGAUAGAAUUGUAAUAAUGGCCAACAUUUAUAGAAUGCUUUAUAUGUAUUACAUUUAGUGUAAAAAAAAAACCCACCAGAAACGUUAAUGGCAUCUUUUUUUUUUUUUUCAACGUUUAUUUAUUUUUGGGACAGAGAGAGAUAGAGCAUGAACGGGGGAAGGGCAGAGAGAGAGGGAGACACAGAAUCGGAAACAGGCUCCAGGCUCUGAGCCAUCAGCCCAGAGCCUGACGCGGGGCUCGAACUCACGGACCGCGAGAUCGUGACCUGGCUGAAGUCGGACGCUUAACCGACUGCGCCACCCAGGCGCCCAAUGGCAUCUUUUUAAAGGUGUAUUUGUAAGCUCAUGUUAAUAAUGCUAUUCAUUAUUUUGACACUGUUUGAUAUAGGAGUUUCUUGACAAAGUUUUCUUACAAAGGUUGGUUUGUGCCCUUCAGGUCUUUACUCACAUGAGAACUCGCUGUAAAGAGGGAGGUAUAAUAGUGUAAAGAAAUUUGGGGGUUAAAUGGACCCAGGUUGAAUCUUAGGUCCCCUACUUAUUAGCUGUGUGGCCUUGCACAAGUUAGGCUCUCUGAGUCUCAGUUUCUCAUUUAUGGUAUAGAAAUAUUAAUAUCUACCUUUGGGUCUUUGUAAGAGUUAGAACUAAUACAUGUAAAAUACUUAGAAUAUGGCAGGCACUAAAGGAAAAAAAUUAGCCAUUUGGUAGGUUUAAUUUUGAUCCUUUAGUAUAGUAGCCCUUACACCAGACACUAAGAAUACCUACUAAGUCCUACCCAUAUGGUCCCUGCAUCCCAACAGGUACUUUCUAGCAGCAGACACAGAAUUGUAAACAAGUAAGGGAACGAAGUUUAUCCGUGUUGAUUCUGACUUCACAAUCUAUCUCAGACCUGUUUGCUUCUCUCUUCCUCCACUGUCCCAUCCAAGGCCAGGUCACCCUCACCUCACAUCUCAGCUUCUCUCAUAGUCUCCCAGCUGGUCUCCAACUUAAUACUUCAGUUCUUUCCAGUAUGUUCCCCACCAGUGGUCAGAUUGUCCCUUUUAAAUUUAAAUCAGACUUUGUCAUAUUCUUGCUGAAGACCUGUCUUCAGGUGCCUGUUAAUCUUGGAGAUCCAGAUUCUGUUGCUGCACUGAUUGUUACUUUUUUUCAUCUGUAAAAUAAGUAAAUAGGUGCAAGUAAUCUCCAAGGAUGUUUGCUUCCUAGAUUUUAGAAUUCCACUCUGAAUUUUUCCAGUAUUAGUUAACCUGCCAGAACUAAAAGUACCAGAUUCUUAUUAGUGUGAUUAAUUCUAGCUUCUGUAACUACCACCUUCAUUCCUUAGAGGCUUAACUAGUGGUGUGGUAGCAAAAUUUAAUAACUAAUUAUUCAAACACAAGGGAGGAAAAAAAAACCCCUUGAUUUGUAGCAUUUGCUAUUUUCAUGGGGUAAAUACUCCCACCAUGGCUGAUGUUAAGAUUUAAGUUAACAAUGUUAUGUCAUUCAUUAUUUAUGGAGUUGGAAAGAGAUGCUAUUGGCUCUUCUGAGCUGGUAUGAGCUGUCUCCAACACUCUGUUGGGUUUAAGUCAGUAUUCUCACUUUCGAGUCAAUUCAGUGUGAUCAGUGGGAUGCACUGUGAGGCUGUGCUGCUCACAAUCUUUUGAGGGUCCCUGUUGAUGGAGGCUCCUCUGUGUUCACUAUGUUGCUCCUUAAGUGAUGUAGGGUGUUGACUAGUGGCUGUAGGGCAAAGGUUAAGAGAGAGAGGGUCGUGGCACCUUUGGCUGCCAAACCUAGAAGUGGCAACAAUACUUCUCUCAUUUUCUUUUGACUAGAUUCAGUCACAUAACCACACAACUGUAGGGGAGACUGGGAAAUGUAGUCUUGCUGUGUGCCUAGAAGUAAAUAUGUAGCAUUGUCAGUGACAGAACGUGGCUUCUGGUAACCAGCUGCUCACAUGUCUCAUUUCUUUCCUACACUAAAAUAUAGCUUUGUCUUAAGAGGUAGGUGUGAUCUGUCCAAGAUGAAUGCAGUGCCAGCCUACUGUAUCUUCCACAAUGAAGUACCACAAAUUGGGUUGCCUUAAAUAAGAGAUAUUUUUCUUAUAGUUCUGGAGGUCAGAAGUCCAAAAUCAAGUUGUUGGUAGGACUGUGCUCCCUCUGAAGGUUUUAGAGAAGAAUACUUUCUUGCCUUUUCCAGCUGCUGGUGGUUGAUAAUCCUUAACAUCACCUAGCUUAUAGAUGCAUCGCUUGAACCUCUGCCUCCAUCUGUACAUGUCUUCUCCUCUGUGUCUGCAUCUCUAUAUCUGUGUCCAAAUACCUCUCUCUUAUAAGGGCACCAGUAAUUGGAUUAGUGCCUACCCUACUCUAAUGGACCUUACUUUAAUUUGAUUACACCUACAAAGGCUGUAUUUUGAGAAAGUUUACAUUUACAGGGAUUGGCAGUUAGGACUUGAACGUAUAGUUUUAAGGGACACAAUUCAACCUGUAACAUUGACCUUCCCCCCAGAAGAGUUGGCCUCUUGCAAACCUUUGUCCACCUAAUGCAAUCAAUCUUGGUAAAUUCCAAGACCUGGAACCUAGAACUAUAAUCACCCCAAAGGAGGGAGUAGAAUUUCUUUAACUGUAAAAGUCAGGCCAGCAGAAAAGUGCUGAGGACAAGUUUCUGCCUUGUCAUUCUACAAUUGUUUACUGUCCUCUGACCAUGUUGGGGGAAGAUCUUGUGUUUUCCAGUGUCUGGUUUAUCAUUCUGCCAAAUAUCUGUGCUCUGUCUUACAAUGAAGGGUCUACAGGGAUCCUGCACACCUACUACUGACUGUCUCUGGGAGCUUUUGCCAAUCAGUACUGUUUGAGGGUGCAGCUGUGGGAGCUGCUUGGGCAUGUGUCCUGUUUGCAUGACCCAUCAUCUUAAAAGAAGCAACUCAAAAUCCUGUUCAGUUACUGCAGCCAGAACUGACUGCCCACUUAUGCCAUUGAGCAUUGAUAUGGCUCUUUUUUGGCUGUGCAAGAGAAGAAACAAAUAUCCGUGUACUUCCCACAUUAAAUCAAUAUACAGUGGUUGGGUAAGGACAGGGUUAUGGUAAUUAAAACUCCCAUUUGGAAAAAGAAGAGAUAGAAAACGUAUAGAUAUCAUUGGUCCGUAGUAAAUUGAAAUGUAGGUCAAGUGUUGUGAAGUUUUCUGCCUUGGCAGUGGGGAAAUUCCUGAGGAGACUAAUUCAUCCUCUGGGAGUAUUUCCUUUUAUCUCCUUGGCUACUGUACCAGUCCAUGGAGAAAGAGCUUCUUUCUGUUCACUGUCCUCCCUGCAACAUUUGGGGUCAUCAGAGUUCUUCAGAGAAGCAAUAGGAUGUAACGGAGAUUUAUUAUCAGGGAUGGGCUGAAGGAUGCAGUUACAAAGCUGAGAAGUCCUAUGAUCUGAUGCUGUCUUCAACCUGGAAGCCCAGAAAAGCUGUGGUGUAUUUCAGUCAGGAUCUAUACGCCUGAGAACCAGGAGUGUUGAUGACAUAAAGUCCAUUUUGAGGGGUGAUAUGUCCCCAGCCCACGCAAUAAGGCAGAAAACAGAGGACAGAUUCCUCCUCGUUCAGCCUUUGUGUUCUAUUUAGGCCCUCAACAGAUUGGAUGAUGCUAACCCAUCCUGGGGAGGGAGAUCAACUUUACUGAGUCCUCCAAUUCAAAUGCUAAUGUCUUCCAGAAACACUCUCAUGGACACACCCAGAAAUCCUGUGUAACCAUAUCUGGUCAUCUCCUGAUUCAAACUGACAGAUAAAAUUAACUAUUACUGUAGGCAUUGGGAUAUGUGCCCUUCUUGGGGCUGUGCCGUUUUCAGAAGGCUGAGGUCACAAGGAUUUUUUUUUUUUUUUUAAAUCCUGAGUGGUCAAGGGUUGUGUUAGUUGGUUUAUGGUUUCUCCAGAAACAUACUUCCCUUGAAAACUAAGAGGGUGCUGAUCUGUUUGCUUAAAGUCAGUCUCACAUGCUAGUAACUGAGGCACCCAAGUUUCUUUCCCUGGAAAGUGUCCAAAUCUGCAUUAUUUAUUUGCUUCCUCUCAGUCACGUUUUCUUCUUUCAGCUUAAUGGCAGCUACCUUGAGGCUAUUGGGUUAUCUUUAAUUUGAUUUUUUUUUCCCAGAAAGCUGGCUCCUAGUGGGGCUCUGUUGCUCAAAGCCUUAUUUGAUCUUUUUUUCCUACUCCUUGGAGCCCACGAAACAGUCAAUAUUUGUAAUCCAAGGUCCCAUAUUACUGGACUCUCUCUAUUCCCUUUUAUUUUUUUACAAGCUGAUCAAUUUUCUCUUGAACUUAUCACUUUAUUAUAAUUUCUAACCAAAUUCAGCAAUAACUGUAAACAUAUACUAACACCCUACUCUCCUUCCAACCACUUUACCUAGAGCAACAGGCUCAGUAGGUAGGACGUCUUCCUGUCAGGUUAUUGCCUGUAUUGCCUUUGCAUAAUGUGAAUCACCAUCUUUCCAGCCUCUGAUAUCUUCCCUGUUAUUUGCCACCUGACUUCUAAGUCAGUGCCAUGCAUUUUUGGUCUUUGUUAUAAUAGAUCUCCAUUUCAAAUUAUCCAUUUCCAUACCAGGGUAACUAAUACUACCUGUUGUGAGAGAAAAAACAAAGCAACGACUCUUCAAUUCUCAGUGGAUUAACACAUUAAACAUUUAUAAUUUACUCUGAUUGGCAGGGGAAGGUGGGGUAUGGGGCUCUGCUCCAUGUGGUUAGUCAGGAACUCAAGAUCCUUCCAUCUUUAGUCACUGCCAUCUUCAGCAUGUAGCAUCCAACCUCACCACUGAAGCUUCCUCAGUUUGUAAGUCACCAAUCAGUUUUCCUUACAUUCUUCUGGCUCCACUGAGACACAGAAAGUUGGGAAAUGCAGUUUUGCUAUGUAUCCAGAAAAAGGAAAUGCACUGGUGAACAUCUACAAUGGUGUCUGCCAGUGAUCUGGUUGUUUAUUUCAUUUUUUAAAAACUAGUUUUUCCCUAGGUCAUUUCUGAAGAAGGCAGCAUUAGAAAAUGAGGAGAGUGAGAAGUAUUGACUGGAUAAAAGCCUAAAUCGGAAUGACCCCCAGUUCAAUACAGCUAGCAUUUAUUGGGUGUUUACUAUGUUCCUAACUCAUCUGGGUAGCUUUGAUUUCACUGAGCCACUUCUAGUACAAUAUCUCUAAAUGUCAGCUAGAAACUAAACAUGCAUGGCACCUCAUGAUUGUGCCACUUGGUGUUCUGUUGGUUUCUGGGUGUAGAAAUAAAUCUUACAAGGUGUUAGGAUAAUUUUGUUUUAAUCACAAGAGAAGUUUCUCCAUAGGUUCUUUAUUCUCCAAUUCAUUUGGCUCUUAACCUAAAAUGUGAAAGAAAAGACAAAUAUUAUUUAUAAAGUAAAUCCCUUUUAGGUUUAGUUGUAUCUGUUUCUUGCCCUGCAACAUAGCCACAUAAUGUCCAGGUAUUGGGGCAUUAUGAUAACCAGAUACUCACUGGUUGAAGCUGUGCUGAAUAAUGCAUUAGCACAGCGUUAUGCUAUACCCUCCCCAUUCUCAUUGAAUGAAGUGCUUUGUUUUUAAAAACCUCCUCUGGGAGGCUUCACAAACAACUGCGGUUUAGCUCAUAGAUUCCAAAGAUGAUAGACAGAGGCCUUUUCCUGCAGGUAUAGAUGGCUUACCUUCUGAUGGUGGAAAUCUGAUUAUUGCACCCUCCCUGCAAAUGACCCUGUCCAAAAUCAAACAGAAAUCUGGGAUAUUCAAAACCAAGUGAGAAAAGACUGAGAGUCUAGCAAAAUUCAAAUUAAUGCUGACCUCCACUAGCAGAAUACAUAAAACGGCAUACUUAUUAAGAGGUGCAAUUGAGCCAUUUGGGGUUGAGAACUUUGUGUUGCUGAAUUUGAAAGAAAGAAAGAAAGAAAAAAAAAGCAAACCGAGGCAGCUGCCCUAGUUUCUAGUUGGACACGAGAGUAUUUACUCAGCACAGAACCAGUCGGAGCUAAUGGUUCUGAGUGCCUCUAAUGGGCCUUGGGGUUGGGCAGAGCCAAUUUUGGCAAAAGCAGAGAGGUAUGCCCGUUUGAGAGUGGGCAUAUCUCCUCAGAUGGGACUUACGCUACCUUCUCUCUCCCCCCACCCCCUCUCCUCCAGAGAUUUCAGAUCCUCCCUGCCGAGUGUGUGCGCAGGCUUCCAAAGCUCAAGAGUUUGGAUCAAUACCUCAAAGUUUGGAAGUUUAUGAAAUCUUCCAAAUUGGAAUGAAAACAUCUCCCCGGGUAUUCUGCAGUGCUAGUAAUUGGAAAUGAAACAUCUGAGUGAAGGCAAAGCAUUCCCCAGACCUUCAUCUUAUUUCCACUCAGAUGUAAUCCAAAAUUAACACUUGCUCCAGACACCCAGCCUAUUAGCACCCGGAACGAUUCCUCAGCUUCAACAAGAAGGGCAGAGGCUGGGGGCCUGAGUGAGUGGUGAGGGGCUCCCCCACUUGGAAUUCCACCCUGGUAACCCAACAAGAGACACGUGUUACCAUUUAAUUAUAACGAUGGAGCAGAUGUGAUAACAAGGUUGUCUUCUCUGGCUCUGCUCCUGAUGUCACCACAAGGGUUUCCAGUUGUUGCUCUUUCUCAUUUUGCGCUUCCUCAUUAAUCUCAGCUACUCCAGCUGCCUCCUGCUCUCCUCCCUGACAUGUCUGGUCGGCCUUUGUGCCAGGCGAUCACAGCCUUUCAGAGAAGUGGCUGCAUGGGGCUGGGUCUUUGCUUAGUUUGCUUCCAGCCAUCUGUGCCUUCCUGCAGGCCACCUCAUGCUCCUCUCGAAGCCCUGUGACUUCAUCUUCACCAAAUUAUUGCAUUUAAGAAAAGAUAUUUCACACCCAAAUGAUUCCUUUGUGGUGUCCAUAAAAGGCCAUUUUCUUUGUAUUCUGUGACUGUUAUUUGGAAUUUUCUCCUCAUUACGUUCCUGACUGCCUCAAAGCUCCCUCCUCACUCUUUUGUCUGUUUUCCUAAAUCCCAACUUGAAUAUAGUUAUAAUCAUUUAAUUUUCCUCAAAGUUUGGGCUUACCAGACCCCAAAUCAGGAGCAAAUGAAUGGAUUCAUUAGUCUGACAUAGCCUAGGAUUCUGUAUCUCUUCCUUUGAGAGUGAAAUCUGAGGGUGAGGUGGAUUUUGGUCAAGUUUUAUAUAAAUCUUUCACAAAAUUAAUUGUGUUUGAGAGUUUGCACACAACUGGGCAUAUGUAUAUUUUCCAGUUUGGAGUUUUCUAGCCCUUGUGGGACAGGCAGGUGGUGAGCUCCUGUACCAGGUAUGACAUAAUAGGAUAUAUAUAAGCUCUUUUUUGAGAGAAAACAUAUCUUUUUCUUUCCAGCACUUGACAUAUGAUAACCAGUUCUACAGUGAAUAAUAAUAAACUUCUACAUUUUUUUUUUGAUCAGUUAGUAUACUCCCGGUACUGGGCUAAGCUUUUUAUAUAGAGAAUCUCAUGACAGCUCUCUAAAGCAGGGGCUGUUACACCAUCCCCAUCUUACAGAUGUGAAAACUGAGGCACUGGAGAGUUAAGACUUGCCAAAGUUAUAUAAAAGGUUUCAUUGGACGCUGGUUGGCAACCCAAGCAAGGUUAUUUCAAGGCCUGAUAUCAUUACACAUUUUUUUUUCUGAAAAAGCAAAAUAACUGUCUAUGAAGUUUAUAGUGUAAACAUGGAAGCAGUGCUCAAGCACAGUAGCUGAGAAUUCUGCAUGUUAUGUAGGUGGUCAUAAGGAUCCAGAGACCCAAAUGGAUAUAUUUGCCAGUCUCUUAGAGGAGAAUAUAUGGAGGGGAGAGAGUACUGCAGGUGGGGUGACACCUGAUGUAAGCACAGGGAAGGGCAUUUGAUCACAGAAGAUAGAAAUGGGAUUGCCAUAUCUGUGUCUAGCUGCAGCUCUGAGCAGGGAGUCAGGCUCCUGGACCUUCCUGAAGACAUGUUAAAGCAAUGGAGAGGGCCACAGAUCUGAGGACUAGAUUAUUAUUUAGAGGCUUUAUUAUUGCUGCCCGUUGCAUAGACCAGUAGCCUGACUUGUGCUGUAUGUACAGUUAUAACGAAGUCAGAAUGCAUUGACAUCUCUCAUCCACAGGUGGCAAACCAAGGAGAGGAGCUG
This 46788-nucleotide long non-coding RNA is filed under the name Lynx pardinus (Iberian lynx). The record is from RNAcentral. Lineage: Eukaryota; Metazoa; Chordata; Mammalia; Carnivora; Felidae.